GUCUGUACAGGUAGGUUCACAAAACAAAACAAUAAAUGAUGAACAUGGACAACAUGUGAAGUCAUGCAGAUGGAGAUGGACUGUACAUGCAUUGCAGUGAGCAGAUAAUAAUAAUAAUGAAUAGUUUAAGAAGCAGAGACGUGUUAUGUAGUCUAUGUAUCUGAAAUGUGAAGCAAUCUGACAUUUCAACCUAUAGCUAGGUAUAUGAUCGAGUCCUCAGCCUCCUGCAUUCACUGUACCAACCAAUCCUGCUACUGCUAAACAUGAUUGAUCCUGCUCUAAGAAAUGGAACUGGAUCCUCCUUGAGCUCAGGAUGAGGAUCCUUCUGAGCAGUCCAUUCGGACCGUUGAAAUUUAAUCCAACGGCUUCAAAUAGGGGGUUCCUCUAAAAGUUAUAAUAAUUACAGCCGUUGGAUCAAGUUUGAACGGUCCGGAUGGGUUACUCAUGAAGAUCCCCAUCCUGAGCUCAGAAGAGGAUCCAGUUCCCUAAGAAAUGCAAAUGCCGCAAGCUGACAUAUUAGUUGACUAUAAUAUAUACAUACUCUCUCGGUCUUUCACCUAUAGCUAGUAGCUUAUUGGUUCUUGUAUUGUGAAACCCUAAUGAGAUAUUUACUUACAUAACGGGAAGUAAAAAAUCGAGAAACUUAUGAAUAAAAGAAAUGUGGAAUGAGAACUGGAUACAACGUACUACUUUCCUUAGUUGAUGUAAUUAUUGGUUUUGACGAUAUUGGGUUAUAGAUUAUAAGAUGAAAUUCACGUACCUAAUAAAUGCUGAAAAGUCAGGAAUUGUAGUGAUUUACUUUGCUCGAGUACCAAUUCAUGAUAAGUAAUAACAUGCAAUAGGUUAAACAUCGGCCAUCUUGUGAACGAGAGUUUAUACAAACACUUAGGUAUUGUUUGGUAUGCAGAUGGGAUGAGACAAAAUGGAAUCGGAUGGGAUAGGACGGAACGGAACGGACAGGAAGCAAAGAUGUCCUCGGAUGGAAACAAGGAGGAAGAAAAAGGAGACGGAGAGGUUAUAAUUUUGUGUUCCAUGGAUGUGGAACGAGUCGUUCCAGGGGAUGAGGGCGAAUGAAAAUUCACUCAAAAUUAGUCCUGGGAAACAACGCGUUCCACCCGUUUUAGGCGCACCAAACGUGGGACGGAACGUCUCGUUCCCCUUUAUUCCGUCCCGUUCCACGUACCAAACGGUACCUUAAUCAACAGUUACAAAACAAAAAAUCAACUUCAACGGAUCCAUGCCCAUGCACGGUGCACCCAGAUUGCAUUUUCCCCCGAGAAAUAAUUUUCAAUUUUAUUUUCAAAAACAGAUGAUAUAUUAGUAUAUUAUCAGGGGUAUUUUGGGGUCAGGAGCGUAUACAAUUUGGUACGGAGUUGCAGUCUGUUUCCUUGACUAUUCCGACCUACUAAAUUUGAACAUCCCAACCUCAAUGAUUAAAAAAAAAAAUAGAAAUUCACAAAGCUCAAGGAAAGAAAAAUUUGCAAAUUUCAUGAAAUGAUUAAAUAUUCAUAAAUAUGAGAAAUUUUUAAUUAUGAUCGAAAUACGGAUGGUACACCACGUGUUUUUAUGUAAGUGAUGAAAAAUUUUAUUUUUUAAGUUAUUAACUUUUUAACACAUGUAUCCCACCAUUUAUAUAACGACAUGUAACGUAUCAUUCCGUAUGACGAUCACACUACAAAAUCUUUCCAUAACUAGGGCAUCAAAAGGUCUUUGGUUAAUUUGCUGUCCAGUCUGUUCAUUUGACCUUUGAACCCCCCCCUUUUAUGCUUUCCUUUCACAAUUUGUGCUCAACAUUUCUUCAAGGUCACCUGAUUAAUUGUCCCCCAUGUAAUCAUAACCCCUUUUUGUAUUUAAAUACAUUUAUUUUAUUUAAAAAUGGAUGUUUGACUAACAAAAACGUUUUUUGUCGUAAGAAAACGUUGUUAUUUCUUCUUAAAAUAAUGCCAAGAAGGGAAUACGAAUUUGUAAACUCUCAAGUUCACACUUUUUUUUCGUAAUUUGGAAUAUAAUCAUGUUGAACAAAAUAUUAUAAAUUCUCUAGAGAAAAUGAAAAUACCGAAAAUAGGGUCUUGUGUUAAAUGCUAAACCUGAUUAAGUUUCAGAUUGUCUGUCACCCUCGGCACGCAUUUAGACAUCACUAUAAAGGAUUAAAACAAAUAAAAAGAAGGGAAAGAGAGAAAUUUGAAGAAACAGCAAAAGAAAGCUUCAAUUUUUUUCAUGCUUCUGUUUUACUGUAUGUAAUGUUGUAAGGCAGUCUCUCUCUCUCUCCCUCCUCCUCAUCACCUACCACUGACAACUCCACCCCUUCUUAUUAACCCCACCACCACCAUUUGCUCUCUCCAGAAUUCCAUGUGCCUCUUCUCUUCUCCAUUCCCCUUGGACUGCACAGACACACAUUAGCCUCUGUUCUUGUGAGUUGUGAACCCCCAUUUUUGUUUGGAGUUUUUCAAAGGGGCAAGUGCUUGUGGGGAAGAGUGUUGCUCUGCCUCUGUCUCACCAUCUGAGCUUGGAUACAAAAACCUAUUUCCCAAUUGAGAAAACCCAGUAAGGAACCCCACCAAUAUUUACAUUACAAAUAAUGGGAUUGAUUUGGUUCUGUGGCAGCAGCCCCAUUUCCAAGCUGGUUUUUUCUGGGUUCUUUGGAGAUCUAGAAGAUUGAGUUGAAGAAGCCUUUCAAAUUGAAUUUGAAGAAUAAAGGUACCGAUUCAGAAACUUCCAGUGUAUGGAGCCUCUCUAUAUGGUUACUUUUGCUGCAUUUAUAUACAUUAUAUAUAUAUAUAUACAUUAUAUAUAUAUACAUAUAUAUAUAUAUAUAUUCCCUGUUUGUUUGCUGAGCUAAAUGUGGAAACGAUUAGGAAAUGGAGUUUCUGAAGAUUUUACUGUUCUUGUUGUUAACCUGUAGAAUGUUAAAAGUUCAUGCUUGUUUCAACUUUUGUGGGUAAUGUAGAACUGGACUGAGCUAAGCCAAGCGGUUGUUGUAUUAGGCUUAUUGGGUUUCUGCAGUUAUUGGUUUAAUUGGGUUGGGUAAUAAAUGUUUAAAGUUUUGGUCUUUUCGAUUGUGUAUAUAUUGGACAAUAUGGAAUGAUGUGGGAAAUGCAUUAGUUGGUCCUGUUGUUAAUAUGUUUUCACUGUAUGAAAGUGGGUGGAAUUGGAAAGGAGAAAUCUUUGUGCAUUUUUUCCUACUUUUCCUUUGGUUUGUAGUUUGAAUGUCAUAUUGAGGCUGAGUUUGUUUCCGUGAUCACUUUGGUGUUAUGUGAUCUGCGUAGUCUUUGUGAGAUUGUGGAUUGUGGUUGAGUCCGUUUCCCUGACCAUGUUGGUUUUCCGCUCUCUCUCUCUCUCGCACUACAUAUUUGUUUCGUAGCACACUAACUUCUACCGCUUUGUUUACUUUUAUUAUGUUCCCAAUUUGUGAAUAUGUGUUUUGUCUUUGAAAAGAAAAAAAUUGAUGGCAUUGAAAGAGGUGAAAUUUUACAUAGACAAGCAGUUAAAUUCAGUAACAAAAUGGUAGAUAUGCAAAAGAUAGAGUUUUUUAUGCAUGGAAUUGGAGUUUCUAAUUUCUUUGUUUUGAACUCUGCAGGGUCCUUUUUAUCAAGAGUAAAUGGCAUCUGGUCUUGAUACUGUAUUAACCAAGAAGACAUUUGUCUUCGGUUUAAAGGUUUGGGUAUUAACGGGGAUCAUUGUGGGAGUUUUUAUAGUGAUGAUUCUUGCGGUGAUAUCAAUUUGUCUUACUUCGCGAAAGAGAUCCAGAAAGUCUACUGACAUGCUUCCUCUGCGCAGAAUUCCAAAUGAUUCAAAGGAAAUCAAAGAGAUUAGGGUAGAUCAAGCUUGUGCAAAUAACUACGUACCCCGUAGUAGUUCUUUUCUCACCCUUGGCGAUAAAUUCAGUGACAGAGAGUCUGAGAAAGUUUUGAUCCAUAAGAAUGGAGAUGGUAGCAGUCGAUCAGGCUCAUUUAACAAUGGGGAGAAGGAAAAUGUUGGUUCUCAAUCUGGAGAUGAGUGUGGUGCAGCUUAUAUGUAUGAGCCUUCUUCACAGCCUAUAACUGCACCUUCACCUCUAUCUGGUCUACCUGAAUUCUCUCGCCUUGGUUGGGGUCACUGGUUUACAUUAAGGGACCUUGAGUUCGCAACAGGUCGGUUUUCAAAGGAAAAUGUCAUUGGUGAGGGUGGAUAUGGAGUUGUUUAUCGGGGUAAUCUGAUUAAUGGAUCUCCUGUGGCUGUGAAGAAGCUACUCAACAACCUGUAAGAUGCAUCUUAUUUCAGUAGCUUUAUGGAUUUCUGUUUUUUCUAUCUUCUGUUUUCCUUACAAUUCAAUUGCUUGGGCUUAUAACAUAUAUAUUUUCAAUCAUCACACAGAGGACAAGCAGAGAAGGAAUUCAGAGUGGAAGUUGAGGCUAUUGGGCAUGUACGACACAAAAACUUGGUUCGACUUUUGGGAUACUGCAUCGAAGGAACCCACAGGUAUUUCUCUGUAAUUUUAUGUAAUGACUUCUACAUGGUAAAAUACAGGCAGUCAUGUUAUUAUUUGCUGAGCACCUUGUUUGGAUAAAAUAGAGAGUACUAUGUCACAUCCUUAGUUACAUGUAUAAUCCAUUCAUACUUAAAACAUGUGUGUUUUGUUCAGGUUGCUGGUUUAUGAAUAUGUCAACAACGGAAAUUUGGAGCAAUGGCUUCAUGGAGCGAUGCGUCAUCAUGGAUAUCUCACAUGGGAGGCACGCAUGAAAGUUCUCCUUGGCACCGCUAAAGCGUAGGUCUUCCUAUACCUUUGUUUGAGUUUUUCAUCCUUGUGGUUUAUCUUUUUCUGACUCUUUUUUUCACAUAUUUCAGGCUGGCUUAUUUGCAUGAGGCCAUUGAACCCAAAGUUGUGCAUCGAGACAUUAAGUCGAGCAAUAUCUUACUUGAUGAUGAUUUCAAUGCUAAGAUAUCUGAUUUUGGUCUGGCAAAGUUGCUAGGUGCCGGGAAGAGUCAUAUUACAACUAGAGUUAUGGGUACCUUUGGGUGAGUACCUUUUCUCCCUUAGGAACAGUUGCAAUUUCUUGUACGAAGAUUCUUGUGUUGGUAGAAGAACACUAUAUCAUAAUUCUAGAGUAAUCCUUUCUUAUCGGUUCCUUUCAUCAUUCUGUUUUUCAGAUAUGUGGCCCCAGAAUAUGCCAACUCUGGCCUUCUAAAUGAGAAGAGUGAUGUUUAUAGCUUUGGGGUUGUGAUUUUGGAAGCAAUCACUGGAAGAGAUCCGGUGGAUUAUGGUCGGCCAGCACAAGAGGUAUGACAAAAUUGUUACUGUUUUGAAGUGAGAAUUUGGAGAUCAAAUAUGCAUCUUAGUUUUGCAUUCGUAUAUUGAUUAGUUAAGGAUGCAUGUCAUAUUCGAUAAUCUGCUUUUAAAUUCAUUUUAGUUUGCACAGGAAAAUUCUUUGCUUCCGAACAAAUGGAUACCCCAAAAAAACCUUGGAGUUGUUUGAUAUGUUCUGUGACAGCUAACUAUCUUUAUAUCUGCUUCCUUUAGGGGAACAAAAAAGAAGAAAAAGGAAUGAUACCUGUGUAGUAACAGUUGCCCUUACACCUGCUGUGUGCAUCUUGUAGGUAAAUUUGGUGGAUUGGCUCAAGAUGAUGGUUGGAGGCAGGCGUUCAGAAGAGCUGGUAGAUCCGAACAUUGAGACCAAGCCAUCUACGAGUGCCCUUAAACGAGCCCUCUUGACUGCACUGAGGUGUGUAGAUCCAGAUUCUGAUAAAAGGCCUAAGAUGGGUCAAGUGGUUCGCAUGCUUGAAUCGGAGGAGUAUCCCAUACCUCGAGAGGUACGUUUCUGAAAUCAUCUUUGAAAUAACAAUGCUAAACAGACCUUAUAUCCAUUUGACACAAAUAUAGAUUUCAUUCGAAUUUUUGGCUUGCGUGGCUUGUUUUUUCAAUUCAUCUCAUCGUUAUACUCUGAGGAGUUCAUAAGUUGAUCUAUGUAAUGUAACUUGGCUGGAAUUCAGGACCGAAGACGCCGCAGAAGUCAAGCAGGGAACACAGAAGCCGAGUCUCUAAAUUCUGAUACAGAUUGGAGUGAGAAGCCAACUACAAAGACAGAUAGCAGAAGGAACCGUCGAACAUAGGCAAAUGGCGAAUCAAUCAUAGAAAUGCAAGGAAUACAAAUCAAAGGGGACAUGUUACACUCGUUUAAAGCUUUCAUAUUCUUCAGCCUACCAUAGUUGUGAUCAAAGGAAGGAACUGAAACGAGAUAAAGGAAAGGACCAGAACGAAAGGAACUUUUUUUUACUUGUUUUUUUGAAUAUAUAAACCUACUUAUAGGUGUUGAGAGAUGGUUUUUGUGUAUGGAGUGGCACUAGAAGGGGAUGCCUUAGCCAUCGAGUGUGUACAGUUAUCGGUUUUUUCUCUUCCUUUUUUUCUUUAGGUGAUUGUAAUUCAUGAGAUUUUUUCUGAGACAUGCUAAAGUUUACAGGAAGAAACGUUUUUGGCUUGCAUUGUGUGUUUCUACUACCAGCAUUGUGUUAGGUUUACGACCGCGACGGGAGCUUGGUUGAAUGUCAAGCCAUGUUGCCGUGCAUUUGAAGCAAACUGUGAGAUGUGAAACUCAGCACAAGGAAAGGCAGUCAUAUAAUUGCCAAGUUCAAUAUAAGGGUUGCGUGUCAUGUGAUUUUGGAGGCUAAAAUUGCACAUCAUGUGCUUUGAUUUAUUGCUAAGCACGGGAAGGCUAUUUUUCUCCUUUCAUGCUCCCAACUUUUCUUGAGUAAUUGCAGACACACAGUACCAACACAUUUAAUUGUUCGAUUUGAUUUAACGCUCGUUGGUCAUUCAGUUUAAACCGUUGGAUCAAAUCCAAGGCUUUGUAUUUUUACAGAUAGGAUUGAAUAUGGCUAUGCAUUUUUUGUUUUUUUUGUUAUGCUUGGCAAUAUUAACCAGACAACGCUUCAAAUUAAAAUGGUGUUUGAACAUGUUAUCCAACAACCAAAAGGGGUCAUGAGCAUUAUGGGAUGAUUUGUUCCGCCGAAUCCAUGGACUAAACAAAUACGCAUAUGUGAAUUAAGCCAGUUGAAAAAGGCUCCGUGUCUAACCCGUGCAUCCAAGCUCAAAUCACCCUCCUCAUAAAUUAGAAUAAUUUAAAAUAUCAUCUCGCCAAGAAUAAAAACAUAAAUACACUGUUUGGUCCCCUCACAACAAAAAGCUAUAUUCUGCACUAUGUUUGGAAUCUUAUUCUCUGCAAAUUUAUGUGCUGUUCCAGGAGACUAAACAGACACCCAAGAAAAGGUUGUUGAUUUAGAAAAGUCGAAUAAUCCAAGGCUCCAAUAAGGAACUUUUGAACAGGUAACAGAGUCACCGUGAAUUACAUAGGGGAUCAUUAAGAUUUUGAUGAGCAAAAGGAACCGAAGAAUGGUAUGAUCUACAGAAACUGUGUUUACAAAACGAAUCUCAAUAAUGUUGUCUGCACGAACGAUUGACAGGUCGGGAAUCCAGAAGCUUGUUGUUUCAAUGGUGGGGAGCGGACCGAGCAUGCAAAAGAGGCUGUAGAGCCUUGACAACAAUGCUCAUAUUUGGCCGGAAAUCAGCUUCAUAUUGGACGCACAAGGCGGCAACAGCAGCCAACUGUUUCAAGCACACAAAUUGUGAUCAGUGGAUUUGAAGUAAACCAACUGCCUGCCUUUUCAAUUAGUCUAUAACUGGCCAGACCAAAAGUAUGUCGUGUUCUUGUCCAUCCAAUCAACAAUUUAAAGAUAACAUAAUUAUAUAUGUGUGUAACUGUGUAUACAUAUUAAGGAAUCGCAGCAAUGGCAAGUAUUUCUUGGAAUCAAGUAAACUGGUGGUGAAUAAUUACUCAAUGUGUUCCCGAUUACCUUUGCAACUGCCUUGGAAGGGUAUUCUCCAUUGAGUCUAGCAUCAACACACUGCUUCACCUUAUCCUCACUGAGUUUUGGUGUUGCCUAAUAGAAUCAAAAAUUCGAGAAAAAAACUCAGCGAAAUGAAAGAUGAAAACCAGUAACCAAUAAAAUUCUCCGCUUCCACCCGUCCUGAAUGAAUAAAACAAAAGAUGCAAGAACCAAGCAUGAGUUACAAGUAGACAAGAACUAGGAUGAAAUUAGUACCCAUGUCACAAGGCUCUGCUGCCCACGCGGCAAUGUGUGAUCAACAGGUUUACGCCCAGUCAAGAGUUCAAGCAACACUACACCAAAGCUGUAGACAUCACUUUUUGAACUCAGCUGUCCAGUCAUUGCAUAUCUGCCAUUCGGAAUCACAGACAAGAAUUACAAGGGGAUAUAUGCCAAAUCAAAAUUUUGGGCGUACAUCAUAACGUGAUUAUACGGUACAUCAAGGAAGAAAUUACUCUGGAGCAUGAUAACCAAAAGUCCCAAGAACACGAGUAGAAUGAAGACGUGCUGCCAUAUCAGGUGCUUGAUUUGACAGAUCAAAAUCAGCAAUCUUUGCAACAUCAUCAUCAAAAAGCAGUAUAUUGCAGGACUUAAUAUCACGAUGGAUUAUAUGAGGCUGCGCCUUUUCAUGUAGAUAUUCAAGUCCUCUCGCUGCUCCUACAGCAAUUUUAACCCUUUGUACCCAUGACAGAACCGGACCUGGCUGUGCUCCCUUAACACCUUUCCGACCUAUAGCCACAUAAAGAGAAACAAAUUUCUAUUAGCAUAGAGAUGAAGGCGAUCUUACUAAUUAUCAAAGAGAUAAAGCUCAAAAAUUUGCAGCUGAUGAGCAAUUUUCUAUUGUUUGGAGGCCAACCCGCUCGUUUCGCAGAUUACAUGAAACACUAGGCGUCAUUAAACACAAACAACUAUCAUCAACUAAUUGACCUUCAACCUAUAAGUUAUUAAGCCUCAUUCAAAAUUUGUAAACCAAAAAAAAAUUCUGUGUGCAUAAAGCUUCACUAAAAAAAGAUCUAUGUGGUACUUGAUUAAAAAUUUACAACUUUUGGAGGCUGUAAAUAACACCACACGAUAGGAAUGUGGAAAUGUUACUUACCAUGGAGAAUAUCAUGAAGGGACCCCUUAGGAGCAUACUCAUAGGCAAGGAGACGGAGAGGGCCAUCAAUACAAUAACCAACAAGCUCGACAGCAUUCUCAUGUUUUAGUCUUGAAACCAUGGAGACCUGUAAAUUUAUGCUCCAAGCAUUAAAUAAAUUUGAGUAUCAAAUAGCGUACCAUGUCAAGUAUCAAACACAAAACAUUCCGCAGACUUAACCUGCGAUAAGAAUUCUCGCUCCGGUUGUUUACUGGAGUCUAACUUCUUAAUAGCUGCAGCAGGCCCACUUUUCAGAACACCAUGAUAUACUCUUCCAUAUGAACCCUCACCGAUUAAAGAUUUCGUGCCAAAGUUAUCUGUCAAAUCUUUCAAUUCAUCCACUGGAAUGGCAGCGACAGCGAUGGGGAGGAUAUUUACAACCUGAGUAUCCUUGGGUGCAGCUUCUUUCUGAUAGUAACCUCCACUAUUGCCUAAAUUUCAAAUGUCGAGUUUUGCAUCAAUCAAACAAUAAGCCGUAAACAGUGGAUAUCUAAAAUCAAAUGGCAUAGAAGUUGACCUGACUAAUUCCAACUGAAAAAGUAAUGGAAUAUGUCAUUAUUAUCAAUGCACUCAGAAUAAGAACAUCGUAUAUAUACACCCACGCGGUACCUGCUGAGUGAUUUGUCACAUGCGGUCGAGUCUCAGAAGCUUUACGGACAUCAUCUUGUACACAACAACUGAAGCAGCUCAUGAUGUUUUUAUCUGAAGAAACAGUUGAAAACCAUCUUAAGCAAUCUUACGUUGACAGACCGCGGGCGAUAAAAUUUAUCUAACAAAGAUCAAUGGUUUCUGGAUAGUUAUAAAGUCUGGCUUAAUUUCAGACUAGUUCAAUCUGUUAUAAGUUACUAAAACCUCAAUGAAUUAACAUGCUUUAUUCUAAAUCAAUGUUAUUCAAACAAGAGAAACGAUGAAGAAGCACUUGGAUAUCACCCAAAAAAUUAAAAAAACACAACCAAAAAUCUGUAUCAAAAGUUAAAUCCAUCAAUUUAUUCAUUUCACAAAUUAAACCAAAUCAAAGUAAAAAUUCAAAAUUCCCAUUUAAGAUCCAUCAACAAGGAGAGAUUCAUUUUUACAACAGAACAUAAAAUUCAAAGCUUUCUAUUUCUACAUGUUCCUCUUGAGUCCUGUCUCAAAAAAACAAAACAGAUACACAAUAAAUCAAAAGAAAAAGAAGCCACAAUUAGAAAAAAGUGCAUCUAAAACAAAUAAAUUUACAAAAAAUAAAAAAUAAAAAAAAAGUAGCAGAAUUGUGGGGGAAUGAUAUCUCUCACCUUGGUAUGUUUAUAUGGUUCUUCUGGCAAUUGGGUUUUUUGAGUUUUGAGUCAAGUGUUGGGAUUGGAGUGAUGAGAGUGAUCAGGCCGGCUAUGGAGGCCCGCAGGAGAGGGAGAGGGGAAGGAGGCGCACGUCAGCAAUGUACAGAAGGCAUGCAAAUGGGGAGGUUGGGAUGUCUGUCUGUCUCUCUGUCUCUCUGUUCUGGCUUUGACUUACGUUAGAAGAGAGGACACAAAGACAACAACCGAAUUUUGUGUUUCCACUCUUAAACUCCUCGGUCUUCACGAUCUUCUGCGCAUUUCGAAACUGUCAAAAACCAGUUGGGAUGUUAAAUCUUUUUAAUUUUUUUUUUAAUUUGAUAUAAAUAUCUCUUCACUCAAUUGCGUUCUUAGUUUAAGUUCUCUGAUUUAUUUUUAAGUGUGCAUUAACGUAAGAUAUCGCUUCUAAACAGUACAAGUAACAACGCCAUUUACAGUUAUUAAUUAAAAUUUUAAUAAAUAAAAAUAAUAGUGCUGUUUUCUAAAAAAGUAAAACAUCAAAAGUAUUAAUCAUACUAAAAACUAACAUUUGUCUACAUACUUUGUAUGUAUGUACAUAUUUUUUUUUUAGAAAAUAAGAAGGAGAGAGAAAGCGUGUAGGGUGAGAGAUUUUUGUUUUUGAUUUUGAUUUUUUGAUUUUUUGAUUUUUUUUAAAUAUUGAAGGUAUUUUAACAUCACAUGUAGGUGAUGUUUUAAUAAAAAAUAAUAAAAUUUGGACCUAUGAAAUUACAUUAUUGCCUAUCUUUUUUUUUGGUGUCAUAGAAGACUAAUUUAUCUUUUCACUCUCUUUUGAUUGACAAAGAGAGUUUUAUUAAUUAGUAGAAAUAUUAAGGCCAUCUCCAACCGAUGGCUGGCCAGAUGGCUCGUCUCAGCCCUCUGGCCCUCCAAGAUUCUCCAAGAUAUUAAUAAAAGGGGAUGAAUAGUGAGAACAAGUUCAACCCAAAAAAGAAAAGCAAUAGAAAAAAAAGAAAACUAAUGAAAAAUGUUUGAAAACUUUGAGUUUUAACGAUAAGGGUGAAAUAAAGAUUAAAGUGAAUAGUACUAAUAUUGACUUUUUAGUGUAAAAAUAUUAUUUUUUAUUAAAGUAAACAGUACCGGAAACUUUUCGUUAAAGUUCUUAAAAAAAAAAAGAUGAAAACCCAGUUGACGUGUUAUUUUGAUGAAAGUGGCUGGCACAUUGUUUGUAUAUAUUACUCACGUACUUUCUAUACAUAUUAAACUACAUAAAGCAGAGCAAAGCAAUUAUUCCUCUCCAAAAUUCUUCUACCCAAUCUCAGUUUAUAUGUGCAUGUUACGCCUCGUUGCAACGUCAUCUUGAGUCAUGGGUUGUUCAUUUAGAUUAGUAAAUUAUUUCGCUCCUUAGAGGUGUGCGAUGCAAGAAGAUUUGUAACUAACUCGUUUAAUUACGAAUAUUUACAUUUGCAUCGGAUGAUUUACGGUAUUAAGUUCAAACCUCUCCUUGACUCUUGUCCUUUGAUUUUAAUAUAUGUUAAUUCCAGAUUAAAUUAUGUUAAUGUGAUUUGCAUUACAUUUUUAUAUGCACCGCCGUUUUGAAGAUGUGGAUUCUGGAGGGAUUGUUCCUCUGUGUAAGUAUGUCUUAAUGGGCUUUUAAAUUUAGAUGCUUUGUUAGAUAAUUUUUCAUUGUGGCUGAAACGUUAAAGCGUACUCCAUAUAUUAUUAUACAAUUAGAAGGACAUUUAAAAAAAAAAAACUUUCUACUGAUGACAUGUGAUGUAUUGUACUAUGUUCUAAAUAUGCUGAAAAAUUUCUCGCCUCAUUGACCGUUUUCAUUGACUAAACAUCGAUUUCUUUUAAACUUUUGAUUAAAAUGCUUUUUUCUAGUUAAUUAAGCCAUUUUAUGUACAAAAUUACACUUAUGAUAUAUUUUCUUUGUCAAAAGAUAAAGUUUUAUUGAAUUCCAAUAUAAACGUUUUCAUUUUCAGCAAGAAUAUUAAAAAAAAAUCUGGAUCAAGAACAUCCCACCGGAAAUCACCUCCAUGCGAGGUAACAUAUGAGGCUACAGCAUCCAUAACGACAUUUCCUUUUCGCUUUACAUACAAAAACCUCACCUCUCCUUGUUGAGACACCAAACAUAUAAUGUCACGAAUAAAACAUUCCAAACUAGCAUCUAUAGAAUACGCUUCUUGAAGCAUUCGAAUCAACGACUGAGAAUCAGAUUCGAUUUCCACCAACGCAGCACGAAUCGCCGCAGCUUCAGCCAUAGCCGCGUUGUUGAAGAAUAAACCCCCUGCGCCACCCGCCAUUUGCAACAACCCUGCGAAAUCCCUCAUAACCCAUCUGUAUCCUCCCUGUAAAGACUUCCCACACCAGGCACCGUCACAAUUAACCUUUAGUACACCAUAGGUGGGCCUCCUCCACCGUACCUGCUGCUCAGCAAAAAUAGCACCAUUCGUUUCCACAUAGGAGUCAGCAGCCUGCUGAUUGGUAAUAUGGCAUGCUUUAAAUUCUAGGAGUAGAUGCCGCACCAAAUUAACCCCAUCCAUAGGAUUAAUUAAUGUACCUUUGAAAACCAUUGCAUUUCGACUCUUCCAGAUUCUCCACUAGACAAACACGCACUCCUGCAAAAGAAGACAUACCAUUGCUAAAUGAAAACGUACCAAUGCCAAAUUAAAAUAUAUCGACGCUAAAUCAAAAUGUAUUGAUGCGAGGUGAAUAAGUCUCAACACAAAAUGAAAACGGUCAAAUUAAAAUGUAUCGACCAAAUUUAUUUACCGGUAUUAGACAAAGUACGGACCUAAUUUAUUUACCCGUUCUAUACAUGUCACUUCAAGUAAUGCUUAGAAAGUACAUGCCUACUAACACACAAUUAACUUUAUAAAUUAAAUAUGAAAAUAGACGUACAAAUCAACAAUAUUAAUAAAAUCGCUUUGAAAAAUAUGUAUAAAGUUAAAUUGAUUAUAGAAACAAACGUACCAAUCAACAAUAUGAGUAAAAUUGCUUUAAAAAAUAAUAUAUAUAUAUAUAUAUAUAUAAUCAAACGAUUGUGGUGGCACUAGUGGCGGUUGUGACAUUCGCUAAAUUGCUCCGGUCAUUAGUAUGGAUAAGUAUGUAAAUGGAUAGAGAUAGGGAAGCAAACUCAAGAUGUAUGUGGUUCACCCAGAUUGGCUACGUCCACGGAGUAGAGGAGUUCUCAUUAGUUGUGAAGGGUUUACACAAGUACAUAGGUUCAAGCUCUCUUUUAGUGAGUACAAGUGAAUGAUUUAGUACAAAUGACAUUAGGGAAUAUUGUGAGAGAAUGAUCUCUAUUUAUAGAAGAGAGUUUCUAGUUUCAUUCUGACUUUGACACGUGUCGUGUUGUGAUUGGCUUCUGAUGUUGACACGUGUCGCGAUAUGAUUGGCUUCUGAUGUCGACACGUGUCGCGCUGUGAUUAGCCUCCUGGUUGGAGGGAAACUCUUCUAGGUCCUUGAUAGUAUAACGUUGACCCGUGCUCAGUAGUUUCGGGAUUGGUCAAGUAUGGUACAAACAGUGCUCCCCUAAGUUCCUGAGUGAGGGAAGCUCCUCGGUUGGGGACUUGCAAGAUCCAAGCCAUUGAGUAAUCACGAAACUUCUAAGUACCGAAGUGUGGUAUCAUUUUCACUUGUCUUAUCUGUCUCAUACGUAGAUGUGGCAUCUUCUCUGGAAGUACUUUUCCUCCAUCCAGGGGUGAUAUCUUUAACCGAUGAAGAUGCACAAGGUAAUGUAUCAAUUUCACUUGAAGCUUACUUGUAGUUUUGGGCUUGGUCAAAUGCGAUACAAAACCCUAUAGUAGGAGCCCCCCAAGUCGCCGAGCUAGGAGAUUUGCCGAAUGAGGUAACAGACAAGGUAAGCAAUCAGACUUCCAAGCAAGCAACCUGGAUCGGAGGUUCGUCUUCGGAUUCCGGUUGAUUGUUCUUCUUCUCCUUAUGUCGUAAACAACAACAAGGAUAAGGAGAAGCAAAUGGAGAAUAGAUGAUAUGAGAUACUUUUACUUUUGAAGAAGUAUUUUUCCACAUGCGUAUUCUUGAACUGGGCUGGAGGGUUUUCUAGUUUCUUUCAGAGUAUAAGGCUAACUCAAGAAUUUGAGGGUCAAAACAAGUCCAUCAAAUCUAGAGUACGUUUGACCUUGAUGAUAUGUGAUACUUUUGUUGUUGACAAAGUAGUGGAUGUAUCGACACGUGUUCUGUUACGCUUGUCUCCACAUGCUUCCUUGUAUCCUUCUCACUUGCCCUAUCUGUUCCUCAGGCAGAUGUGGUAUCUUCUAUGGAAGCAUAAGAUGUUGAAGAUGAGUACUCGAGAGCAAUGUCAGGUAAGUAAUCAGGCAAGGGGUUCCAGGCAGUCAGUUCCUGACUGGAAGCUUGAUUCCAAGUGCUGACUGAUUGCUCUCUUUCUCCUUGUCUUGCAGGUAAGAACAAUGCCAAAGGAAAAGACAGGGAAAAAGCAUGAUAUGGGAUACUCUUGCUUUUAACCCUGAUGAUAUGAGGUACUCUUGCUCUGGUGUGGCUUGUUUGCAUAGGUAUUAUCGGGAGGAAAAGAAGCUGAGUAUUUCGAGAGACUUUGCUGAGAGUGCCCUCUCGGAUGUGAAGAAAAGUUGAGCAUUUUUUUUAUUUGCAGGUCUGCCUAGCUGUGGAGGAUGGAGGUCGACAUAUAUAGGAGUCUCCUUAACAACAAGUAGUAGUGCUAUUCAUUUACCCUUCUUGGUCAUAGCAAUGUAGUGGGAGCUGCAAGCUUCACGUGUUUUAACUUUGUCAAAGCACUUUGAAAAAGUGGUCUGUGGUAUCUGGAAAGCUGAUGUUGCGUGUGAAGAUUGCAGACAAGCUUUAUCCAAGGAAAUCAGGCUCUCGAAGUUCGGAGAGCGGUGCCUCUUCGGUUUUCGAACAGGCAAUCUUGUCAAGGAUCUGGCUUUCGAGAUUCAGAGAACGGUGCUUCUUCAAUUUUUGAGAACGCAAUCCUGUUUGGGGUCUAACUCUUGAGAUUUGGAGAGCAGUGUCUCUUCGAUUUUUGAGAAAGUAAUCAUGUUGGGAGUCUGGCUCUCGAGAUUCGGAUGGCGGUGCCUCUUCAAUUUUUUAGCACAUAAUCCUGUUGGGAGUCUGGCUCUCGAGAUUUGGAGAGCGGUGCCUCUUCGAUUUUUGAGAAAGCAAUCAUGUUGGGAGUCUAACUCUUGAGAUUCGGAUAGCAGUGUCUCUUCAAUUUUUUGAGAAAGUAAUCCAGUUGGGAGUCUGGCUCUCGAGAUUCGGAGGGCGGUGCCUCUUCGAUUUUUGAGCACGUAAUCCUGUUGGGAGUUUGGCUCUCGAGAUUCGGAAAGCGGUGCCUCUUCGAUUUUUGAGCAAGUAAUCUUAUUAGGAAUGUUUUCUCGAAUGUGAGUAAAGGUUGGGCAUUUUUGCCAGUUUGCCUUGCCACGGAGCACGGAAGUUGACACACAUUGGGACUUUCUACUUAUCAAGGAGUGGAGCUGUUCCUUUACCCUUGUGGGUAAUAGUAGGGUAGCUGGACCUUCAAAAUUUAUGUGUCUAAACUUUGUCAGAGAUUUUUGGCAAAGUUAUAUAUGGUACCCGAGAAACUGAUGUUGCGUGUGGAAAGUGGUGCCACUUCAAUUUUUGAACCAAUUACCCUAUUGCCCUUUCUUUUAUAAGGGCACCAAUUGUGUGCAAGGAGUACAUUCAGAGAGUUAUUGCUUGUAGGAAUUUUCCCCUUACUUCAGAGAUUUCUUUCACCUAAUUUUUCCUUCAUCAUUUCUGAGAAUGUCUGACCCAUAUAACCGUCGUUUUGACUUGAACUUUGGUGAAGAGGUAGCCAUACCUUCUCAAGACAACAUAUAACGGCCAUCUUUCUUAUCCUCUACUGGUCCUCUUACCGUUGGAGACUCUGUGAUGAAGAAUGAUAUGACCGCUGCGGUGGUGGCCAAGAACCUUGUUACUCCCAAAGAUAACAAACUACUUUCCAAACGGUCUGAUGAGUUGGCUGUUAAGAAUUCUCUGGCUCUUAGUGUUCAGUGUGCAGGUUCUGUGUCUAAUAUGGCCCAACGCCUAUUUGCUUGAACCCACCAAGUUGAAUCAUUAGCGACUGAAGUGAUAAGUCUCAAACAGAAGAUCAGAGGGCUCAGGCAUGAGAAUAAACAGUUGCACAGGCUUGCACAUAACUAUGCUACAAACAUGAAGAGGAAGCUCGACCAGCUGCAGGAAUCUGAUGGUCAGAUUUUAGUUGAUCAUUAGAGGUUUGUGAGUUUGUUCCAAAUGCAUUUAUUGCCUUUGUCUUCUGGGGCUGUACCGCGUAAUGAAGCUCCAAAUAAUCAACCUUUGGUGCCUCCUCCUUUUGGGAUUCUGCCUAGUACCGAGGCUCCGAAUAAUCAUCCUAUGGUGCCUCCUCUUUUUAGGGCUAUGUCGAUUGCUAAGACUUCUCCUGAGCAACCUUUGUGAAGGCUCCCUCUUAUUUGUUUAUUUUGAUUCAUGUAUAUGUACAUAUUUGUAAUUUAUCGGAGAUAUCAAUAAACAAGUUUUGCUUCAUUUCAACGUAUUGUGUUAAAUACAUCAAGGCCUUCUUCACUUAGUUCUUUGAAUUUUUCCUUUUGUUGAAACUUGUAUGUUGAAGCUUUGUGAGUGAAGCAUGUAGGUUGAGGUAGUGCUCCCCUAAUUUUCCGAGUGAGGAAAACUUCUCUUUUGGAAACUUGAAAAAUUCAAGUCACUGAGUGGUCGUGAGACUUCCGAGUAUCAAGGUGCAGUAGCAUAUGGUAGGAGUCCCCCAAGUUUCCGGUCGAAGUAGUUGACGAAUGAGGCAUUUCCUUUCUAAGUGGUAGCUCAAAACUCCUUCUUCAUAUAUAUUUGUUAUGAAAGUUGUUAGACUCAUAGAAUAGGAGGCCUAGGCAAUUUUUAUUUUAUUUUUUUGAAUUUUUUUUUUUCGAUUUUUUUUCGAAUUUUUGAAUUUCCAAAAUUUUGAAUUUUUGAAUUUUUGAAUUUCUGAAAAUAUAUAUAUAUAUAUAUAUAUAUAUUUUUUUUUUAAAGCUUUGUAAGUGAAGCUUUGGUGUUGAAGCUUUGAGGUUGAAGCUUUGUUGGGCACCAUGAAUUGAUUUUGCUUCACACUAUCUUGAUCAAGAUAGUGUGAAACUUUUGUAGGUGAAGCUUUUGUAUUGAAGCUUUGUAGGUAAAGCUUUUGUAUUGAAGUUUUGUAAGUGAAGUUUUUGUGGGUGAAGUUUUUGUGGGUCAAGCUUUUGUAGGUGAAGCUUUUGUAUUGAAGCUUUGUAAGUGAAGUUUUUGUGGGUGAAGUUUUUGUGGGUCAAGCUUUUGUAGGUGAAGCUUUUAUGGGUCAAGCUUUUGUAGGUCAAGCUUUUGUAGGUCAAGCUUUUAUGGGUCAAGUUUUUGUGGGUCAAGCUUUUGUGGGUGAAGCUUUUGUAGGUGAAGCUUUUGUGGGUGAAGCUUUUGUGGGUGAAGCUUUUGUGGGUGAAGCUUUUGUGGGUGAAGCUUUUGUAGGUCAAGCUUUUAUGGGUCAAGCUUUUGUGGGUCAAGCUUUUGUAGGUGAAGCUUUUGUGUUGAAGCUUGCUUUUGUGGGUGAAGCUUUUGUAGGUGAAGCUUUGAAGUUGAAGCUUUUGUUGGGUACCAUGAAUUGAUUUUGCUUCACACUAUUUUCAUCAAGAUAGUGUGAAGCUUUUGAGAAUUUGUAGUUGUCCUCCAUUGAUGAAGCUUUGGAGUUGAAGUUUUAUAGGUGAAGCUUUGGAGUUGAAACUUUUGUUGGGUACCAUGAAUUGAUUUUGCUUCACACUAUCUUGAUUAAGAUAGUGUAAAGCUUUUGAGAAUUUGUAGUUGUCCUCCAUUGAUGAAGCUUUGUUGAAUUUCCACACUGUUGAGCAAGAGAUUGUGAUGCAAGCCACACCUUGUAUUAGUCGAAGGUUUGGAUGAACCAUAUAAAUUGAAUUUGCUUCGAAGGUCUAAGAAUUGUAGUUGCCCUCCAUUGAUGAAGCUUUUGUUGGCACCAUAAAUUGGUUUUGCUUCACACUGUCAUGAUCAAGAGUGUGUGAAGCUUUUGAGAAUUGUGGUUGAACUCCUUUGGUGAAGCUUUUUUUGGCACCAUAAAUUAGUUUUGCUUCACACUGUCUUGAUCAAGAGUGUGUGAAGCUUUUGAGAAUUGUGGUUGCCCUUCAUUGAUGGAGCUCUUGUUGGCACCAUAAAUUGGUUUUGUUUCACACUGUCUUGAUCAAGAGUGUGUGAAGCUUUUGAGAAUUGUGGUUGAACUCCUUUGAUGAAGCUCUUGUUGGCACCAUAAAUUGGUUUUGCUUCACACUGUCUUGAUCAAGAGUGUGUGAAGUUUUUGAAAAUUGUGGUUACCCUCCAUUGAUGAAGCUCUUGCUGUUGGCACCAUAAAUUGGUUUUGCUUCACACUGUCUUGAUCAAGAGUGUGUGAAGCUUUUGAGAAUUGUGGUUGCCCUCUAUUGAUGAAGCUUUUGUUGUCACCAUAAAUUGGUUUUGCUUCACACUGUCUUGAUCAAGAGUGUGUGAAGUUUUUAAGACUUGUGGUUGAACUCCUUUGAUGAAGCUCUUGUUGGCACCAUAAAUUAGUUUUGCUUCACACUAUCUUGAUCAAGAGUGUGUGAAGCUUUUGAGAAUUGUGGUUGCCCUCUAUUGAUGAAACUCUUGUUGGCACCACAAAAGCUUGACCCACGAGGCUUAUGUAUUGAUGAAGCUCUUGAUGCAUAAAAUCAGUGAGGACUUUGGUACAACAUAAAGUGUUAAGUUUGUGACAUUCGCUAGAUUGCUCCGGUCACUAGUAUGGAUAAGUAUGUAAAUGGAUAGAGAUAGGGAAGCAAACACAAGAUGUACGUGGUUCACCCAAAUUGGCUACGUCCACGGAGUAGAGGAGUUCUCAUUAAUUGGGAAGGGUUUACACAAGUACAUAGGUUCAAGCUCUCCUUUAAUGAGUACUAGUGAAUGAUUUAGUACAAAUGACAUUAGGGAAUAUUGUGAGAGAAUGAUCUCUAUUUAUAGAAGAUAGUUUCUAAUUUCAUUCUGAUAUUGACACGUGUCGUGUUGUGAUUGGCUUCUGAUGUUGACACAUGUCGCGCUAUGAUUGGCUUCUGAUGUCGACAUGUGUCGCGCUGUGAUUGGCCUCCUGGUUGGAGAGAAACUCUUCUGGGUCCUUGAUGGUAUAACGUUGACCGGUACUCAGUAGUUUCGGGAUUGGUCAAGUAUGGUACAAAUAAAAACAAUACCAAACGAAGCAUAAAACCUAUUAACAAGAAGUUGAGGAAUCUAAUUUCCUCAUGUCUUAAUUAGCAUCUUAACACUAAUUAGCUCGCAAAGAUUUGACUAAUAUACAUAACAAUAAUCAAUCUAACCGAUGAAGAAGCCAUGAAGCCACUCUUCAAUGUUGACCUUCUCCUCCACGUCAAAUUCUCAAUGUUAACAAUAGGUCUUAGUUCAAUUGCGAGAAUAUUCAUGGCUGAAGCGACCGGCAUACUCUCGUAGUGACUCGUCCGGCUUCUGGCAAAUAGUGUACAAGUAAUCUGCAGAAUGCAAGUGAUCGAUCUGGAAGAUGUGUUGAGAGACAAACAGUUUCCUUAAUUCCUCAAAUGAGUCUACUGUCUCAGGUGGAAUACGGCAAUACCAGUUUAGAGCUCCGCCAGAAAUAGUGGAGGGGAAGAGAAGACAUCGCUCUUCGUCGGUGUGCAUUCGAUAUGCCAUGGUGGACUCAAAGAGGUUAAAGUGUUCAAUUAGGUCCUCCCUUCCUGUAUAGAGUUGUAAACCAAGCUUUUGUUUUGUCUUCGCUUGAAGGGGCGUGUCGAUGAUCCUUCUUAUGAGAAGGCCAAGCCUGGGUUGGUUCCAGUCAGGUAUCUCGGCCUAACGUUUGGCAUUCAACUUGUUUACUUCCUCAAGGAGCUGUAGGGCAAUGGGGUCCUGAGUGGAGUCAUGUGUCACUGGAAUUUUCUUUCGUAAGUCUUCAUCGCCUCUUGGAAGUAGGAAAGUUUAAGCAAUGACGUGUGGUUUUUUCAUGGACUCGCUGUACUGACUUUUAGGGCAAGUAUGUCGGAAUACCUCAGAGUCCCCCAUACCUUCAUGUUCCUCUGGGACCAGUCAUUCCUUCCCUAGAUUGGCAGUUGGCCUGGGUCGUGGGAGGGGAUCGAGUCUUUCAGAAACCCUUGGGUCAUUGAUUUUCGAGCAUAUGUGGAGGGGAUUUUUUCGACGUUGCUUUAGGAAGUCUCGGCAGUCACGAUAAAUGGUUUUCGAUCCUUCCAACCUUUCUGCAAGGAGGUGUCUUCCUCCACUUUUUCUACUUCGGGUCGAAGCAUCUGGGUUGAAAGAAGUCUCAUGUUGAUCAAUGUUUUGAUGAUUAGCUCGCUCCUCAUCAGGGAUACCCAUGUCGAAUGGAGGUGACCCUCCGUGUUGGGGGGCACCCAGAUGAUAGUUGAUGUCCAUAGGGGUAACGAGCUUCCGUGUUUGAGUACGCUUAGUUUCGUGGAGUGUCUUAAAGAGCUUCUCAUACUGCUCCUGGAGGACCUCAUUCUUCAUUUCUAUCUUGUUGUUCUAAGCUUUUAGCUCAUCGACUUUAGCUUGAAAAGCAACCAUCUUUCCUUCAUUCUUUCGUUUCUUCGCACUAGGUGCAAGAGGGGUGUCAUUCUAUGUGCUGUGGCUUCCUUCGCUCCCCAUGUUGGAAAGGGAUGCCUGGUCAAAAUAGAGUGUACGAAUGGUGGAAACCAGCUUGGCAAAGCUGAAGAGAGUGGGAAUAAGUGUCGUUCCCACAGACAGCGCCAAAUGUUGAUACACAAAAUCAGCGAGGACUUUGGUACAACAAAAAGUGUUAAGUUUGUGACAUUCGCUAGAUUGCUCCGAUCAUUAGUGUGGAUAAGUAAGUAAAUGGAUAGGGACAGGGAAGCAAACACAAGAUGUACGUGGUUCACCCAGAUUGGCUACGUCCACGGAGUAGAGGAGUUCUCAUUAAUUGUGAAAGGUUUACACAAGUACAUAGGUUCAAGCUCUCCUUUAGUGAGUACUAGUGAAUGAUUUGGUACAAAUGACAUUAGGAAAUAUUGUGAGAGAAUGAUCUCUAUUUAUAGAAGAGAGUUUCUAGUUUCAUUCUGACUUUGACACGUGUCGUGUUGUGAUUGGCUUCUGAUGUUGACACGUAUCGCGCUAUGAUUGGCUUCUGAUGUCGACACGUGUCGCACUGUGAUUGGCCUCCUGGUUGGAGGAAAACUCUUCUGGGUCAUUGACGGUAUAAUGUUGACUGGUGCUCAGUAGUUUCGGGAUUGGUCAAGUAUGGUACAAACACAAAAUGUAUUGAUGCUAGGUGAAUAAGUCGCAACACAAAAUGAAAACGGACCAAUGCCAAAUUAAAAUGUAUCGACCAAAUUUAUUUAUUGGUACUAGAUAAAGUACGGACCCAAUUUAUUUACCCAUUCUAUACAUGCCACUUCAAGUAAUGCUUAGAAAGUACAUGCCUACUAACACACAAUUAACUUUAUAAAUUAAAUAUGAAAAUAAAUGUACCAAUCAACAAUAUUAAUAAAAUCGCUUUGAAAAAAAUGUAUAAAGUUAAAUUGAAUAUAGAAAUAAACGUACCAAUCAACAAUAUGAGUAAAAUUGCUUUAAAAAAAUAAUAUAUAUAUAUAUAUAUAUAAUCAAACGAUUGUGGUGGCACUAGUGGCGGUUGUGGUGGCAGUUGUGACGAUUGUGGUGGCGGUGCAGUGGUGGUGGUGGUGGCAGUGGCGGUGAUGUAAGGUUAGUGUUUAUAGUGGUAAGUGGUGGCAAUCAUUUUAUUCUCCAAGGAUUAAAUGUGUGUAGAAGGAUAAAAUAUGUUAUUUUAAAAAACUAAUGAAGGUAUUACAAGAAUUGAAAAUUUUCAUUAAAUGCUCAAUUCCUUUUAAAAACAACCUAUAUGCUUCUUUUAAAAAUUGUUGUAUGGAGACUAUUGUUUUUAAAAUAAACAGAAUAUUUUAUUUUUACCAAACACUUUUUACUGCUUAACUAUAAAUGAAACAAAUUUCGAUAAAAAAAAAACAACACCAAACGAAGCAUAAAACCUAUUAACAAGAAGUGGAGGAGUCUAAUUUCCUCAUGUCUUAAUUAGCAUCUUAACACUAAUUAGCUCGCAAAUAUUUGACUAAUAUACAUAACAAUAAUCAAUCUAACCGAUAAAGAAGCCAUGAAGCCACUCUUCAAUGUUGACCUUCUCAUCCACGUCAAAUUCUCGAUGUUAACAAUAGGCCUUAGUUCAACAAUGAGCAUAUAUUAUUCCGUUAUACUUUCAAAACCAAUAUGAACUCAAACAUUCGGCUAAAAUACACCUCAUAUUCGAACAAUAUAUUUUGUUAAUUGUGAAAGGUGAUUUGGAAGAUAAUUGUGAUACUUGAUGCCAUGCGCGCUCUCGAUUUCUAACUACUCAUGCCGCCAUUGUCAUUGGGUAUGACCGGUGACAACUUGGUGGAAACGUAGCAAUUCGACACGAUUAUUCUCCAAACAUAUGAUUGUUGAGAGCCUGAAUCCUAUGUAAGGGUGGGCAACGGUUAUGCCAGACGGGUAACCGCGGUUAUUUACUUAUAACUGUUUAUGCUCAUACUCGCAUAACCGUUUACCCAUUUGGUAAUUGCCUAAAUUGUUAUACUCAUACCUAUAACCGUUUAUAAACGGUUAACCAUACCAAUAAUCGCAUACCCAUUUAACCGUAACCGUUUAAUACCCGUUUACUCAUUUUUAACUUGUUUAUCUUUUUCCCAUUUUUAACUUGUUUAUCUUUUUUUUUUACCAUUACCCAUUUUUCACCCAUCUACAUGUUUUUUAACAAAUUGAAAUUUUAAAAAAAAUUUGUCAUAAUUUUUUUUGACAAUUAAACACCGUUAUAGGGGUACAUUCAUUAUACAUUUCCUUAUUUUAAUUUUUUAAGUCCUUAUACCGUUUCAAUAAUUGAAAUAAUAGUUUACAGACGAUAUUUUUAAGGGGUGUGAUAUCCACACACCCCAUUUUACUUCUCACACACCUUUUUAAUUUUCGACCGUCGGAUCAGAUGAAUUGAAGAAGAUCAACGGACAAUAAUUAUUAAAGGUGUGUGAGAAGUAAAAUAUGGUGUGUGGAUAGCACACCCCUAUUUUUAACUGUUACCAAUGAAGGUAAUAUAAUAUUUGCUAAGUAUUCUUGGGUUAUGAAAACUGUUUAGAAGACAGUAUUUUUGAGUUAUUUAACCCAUAGUGCAAAGUAUUAACAUAAUAUAUAUAAUGAGCUACAUUAUUUUAUAAUUAGCUAUAUAAACCAUGCACUAUAGUCAAUAGCAUCAGAGGUGCAAUUUGGGCUGAGCCAACCCGAACCCGCCCAUGUCUAACCUGACUUUAAACUCGAAUAAGCGAAUUUUGUUGUUGUUAUAACCCGCCUGAACCCAACCCGAUUUCAACCCGUUCAUUGAUUGGGUUGGAUUGGGUUGAUCAUUUGUCCAUCCCAACCCAAUCCAAUUAACCAAACCCUAUUAGGUUGAGCUGUGCAACAUACUUCUCAAUAACCUUUGCACCUUUGCACCUUUGCACCUUUGCACCUUUGCACUUUCAUGAGAACCUACUGAUAUGAUAUACAAUUUGACUUGAAAGGAAUCAUAUUAAGUUUAUUUUGCUUUUCACAUCACAUCCUGUAGAACAACUUCCUUUAUUAAAUUAAUAUUGCAACUAUUCGACCUCUCUUUGAGAUCUGCUUCACAGUUUGAGUUGUGAUUGUUUCUUAUGCUGAUUCAGACGAAGUAGGCUAUUGAGCAAGUAAAUUUGAGGGAAAGUGAUUUUAAGGUCAGUUGUUUGCUAAUACAAAUAGGUUGACAUCAUUGUUGAAAAACAUUAAACACUACUUGAAAAAGUUAGGCAACCCAAACUCAACCCAAGUAAAUCCAAACCCGAUUAAACCCGAGCCCGACUAAACCCGAUUAAAACCCAAUCCGAACCCGAACCCGAAUUGUAAAAGUUGGGUUAGGAUUUGGUUGAUUUUCCAACUCGCCCGAGUUGCACCCCUAAAUAGCAUUGAUCUAAGUUUUGUCCUAUAGAGAACAUGGUUUGUGUUAAUUUUACAUAUAUAAAAUAAAUGGGUAAACGGUUACCUGUUUAUAACCGUUAUUUAUACCUAUAACCGUUUAUUUAUCUAAAUAGUUACCUAUAACCAUAACCGUAAAGUUUAAAUAAGUGGGUAACUGCGAUUACAAGGUAUUUUACCCAUAUUCCCAUGUCAGAAAGUAAAGCAUUGCCGUAUAAUUUAAAUUAUCUUAGAUCAGUUGAUUUUAGACCGAAUGUUCACAUUCUAAAAUUUCUAAUAACGUCUGCGUUGGUUGUGAUAUGAGUUCUGCACCUCCGAUAUUGUAAAGCAUUAAAUAAAGGCCCAAUUACAAAUUCAUAAUUUUGGCCCAUGGUUUUUGGGCCCAGAGUAAGGUUGCGUAAUUUCCAGGGUCAAGUUUUAAAUUUGAUGCUUAAAUAGCAAGCCCAACCUUUUGCAAUCUCUUACAUGGGCAUUUUCCAGUCUUUACUUUUCAUUUUCAUUUUUACUUUGGAAUUCUAAUCCUGUAUAACAGUACAUGUGGAAAAUCUAUAUCUUUUUUUCUUUUUCUGCAUAUUCCUGUUUAGUUUUGUUAUUUGAUUUUCUAAUACUUUAUUUCAUUCAAAGGUUAGAAAUGAGCAAGAUUUGUGUGUGGGAGAAAAAAGUGUGUGCGACAAUCAUUUCUCAUUUCAUUUUUUAUCGAGGAGAUAAGAGAUUCAAACUUAAAAUCUCUUCUAACAUUGAGAAGUAUCACUAUUGUACUAACGACUAGUUGGUAAUCUUGCACAUGUGUUCAAAACCAAAAAAUUUCUAUUUUGUAUAAUGAGAUGCAAAAUUUAGAUUGCAACGAAGUUCUUCUUUUUAUGCAUGUGAGAGUGAAAUUGCAAUAAAUCGAACAACUUCAAUUACAUAUAUAAGAGUUUCUUUUCUUGUUUGUUAGAAAAUUUUGUGCAGAACGGUUUCAUAUUACAUAUGUAUCUUUUUACUUUUUAUCACGUAUCUUGUCAGGUGACUUCGCAAUGAGAGAUAGAAACACGUCAAGAUACAACGAUUGUUCCAAGAAAGUUUUCUAGUGGUAUGAGAAAGUUAACGAAAAGGGUUGGGACUUGGGAGGCGUUACGUCGUUAUCUGUAACGGUCUUAACAUGGAGCCAAGAUGGGAUGGUAGGGUUUUCGUGUGCAUGAAGGAUGCAGAUGACCUGAUCUGCCUUUCCCUUUGUGCUUGUGACCUCCUGCAAUUUCCAUAUCGACAAAACUUUUGCCCCUUGAUGGAAAUAUCCAACUUUGUGGGGGCCACCAGUCCAAUCCAUGCAUGGAUCCGGCCCGUUCAAUUUUCAUCGCCAGAAUUCAGUUGAUCACCUUGAUAUCAUGACCUAAUUCAAUCAUCAUUUGGAAGACUUUUUUGUCAAAUAAAACGAAAUAAUUGAUUAAUAUGAUUACAAGAUUAAUUCUUCAUUUUCAACAAUAUUGUAGGAUUUAUUUACUAGAGUGAUAGAAGAUUUGAACUUGAAUCCAGACCGCUUUAAAAACUCGUAAAAAAAUAGUAUCAAUGACCAUUUCCUCCUGUUUUGGAGGCAAAUUUGGUCCACUGUUUUUGUGCAUGAAUAAUGGUUGCCUUUAGUAUUAUUUGCUACUUUUUCUUCAGUAAAACAAUAAUACUGUCACUUUCUAUGAUGCCCAUUUCACACUAGCAUGCCCUGGAAGAACUAAAUAUCUUUUGUCAACAAAAAUCUUCCAUAGGUUGUUCCAAUCCAAGCUAGCCUUGGGUUGUCAUGAUGAUUUUGGUUUUAAUACAAAGUAAAUGGUAUAUAUCAACCGACCAACUGUAUAAGUUACUGUCAGUCGUUAAUAUAUGAACGUUGGUUCAUAUAAAUCUCAUAGGUUCCAUUUGGUGUACGAAAUGAAAGGUUGUGAGUAACAGUUAUAUCCUUAAAGAAAAUAUUGACAAAUUAUGUAAUGUACCCAUCCUGCAGUCCUCAUGUUGGCCAUAACCCUACCCAUGUGCAAAUACAAGUGAACAUAUAUCUCUUUUAAUGUAAUCAAAAUUAAAUUGAAACUUAAAACUUAAAUAAGAUUAGGGUUUUGAAUAUUCUAACGUGCAUGGGUUUGGUGACAUAGCAGGUUUAUUCGGUCCCUCGUACACUAGCAAAAGAGCUUGAAAUUAAUUAAUAUAAUUUUAAUUAAAUUAAAUAAUAAUGAUUAAGCUGAGUAAGAAGGAAGAAAGAUCUCCUAAUUAAUCAUCUCCCAAUUGGAUGCAUGACAGUAGCAUUUGGCCCACGUUCCGGAGUAGGCUCCAUCCUCCAUAACAUGCACAUGAGCUGCCAACCAUUUGGUCUCUCUGGGACCGCAUCAUAUUCAUCUGCAGUUAUUUGGAUUCUCAUACGAUCGACACAGAGAGAGAGAGAGAGAGAGAGAGAGAGAGAGAGAGAGAGAGAGGUUUGCAUUGUGAUGAGUGUGAACCCAUGAGACGUUGCAUAGUAUUAUCUUCUGCUACUAUCCCUCCCCAUUGGUUCUGCAAACCCAACACCAACCAAGAUAAGCGUUAGGCUAGUCGGUCGCCUUACCGCUUCUGGUGACGGUAUACUGUUGAUGUAUGUAUAAAUAAUGAACGACUGAGUUUAGUAUUCAUCUAUCUCUUUUGAAAUACCAAACGUACAAUAUGUGACAUUUGUGUAACAAAAGCCGUCUCCUUAUUCUUAUACUUCCAACACCUAGAGUAGUACGUAGCAGUGGUAGUCUUAUCGCACUUACUGACCUUUUUGUUUCAAUUGAUUCUCUCGAUUGAUAAGUGGCCGGUGUUUGGUCCUAAAUAGAAAUUAGGUUAAAUUAUAAACAUAAUCUUUUUCACAAAUGUAUGUUUUACAAUAAGGUAGAAUAAUUAUGUUGACAAAAUUGAAGGUUUCAAUGUACGAUAGAUUAAUUGGAAUGUAGAUGAUUCUCAGUUGUUGAGGCAUUCACUUUAUUUGGUGCGGAUGUAUAAUUGAUGGACAGUCGUUCAUGCACGUGUGUUUGUAUGAAGAUAUGUAAAGCAACCCUCUAGAUAUGAAUAGACAUAAGGUCUUUGUAAGUUGGGCUACUACUAUAUAGCGAAUUAAUUUUAUGUUGAAACCUCAGCUUUAUUCAUGAUAUCAAAGUAGGGUGUUUCAUGUGUGAAGCCCAACGGCUACACGUGCUUCACAUCACUCAUUUUAUUUUGUCCAUGUGCUAAGCUUAAAAAUUCGUCACGUGAUGAGACGUGUUGGAGUAUUAAUCCUACAUCGAAAAGAAGGAAACUUGCAUUGACAAAUAAGAUACGCUAAUACCCAUAUUAUCAAUUAAUUUUAUAAAUUUUAUAGUAAAACCCAAACAUUUUUCAUAAUUUUCUUUGGAGUUAACUAAAGCCAGAAGUUUGUGGUGUUGUUAACUCACUACCUAGGAGUGGACAUUUUAACCGGUAAAUCGGGUCGAGAAAACCAAAAGAAUCGGGUUUGACAUUGUCACAUUCUUGUUGCAUUUUUUCCCAAAUACCGAAUGUAAUGUGCCAUUCUUGUUACGGACAAGGAUUGUCUGCCCUCCUAGUUGUGGUGCCCUUCUAUGCCCUCCUAUUUUGUGCGGUCACGGUUAAGCCACGUCAACAUUUUAUAUUAAUUUUUUAAUGAGAUAAUAAGACAAAAAACAAUAAAAAUAUAAAAUAUUAACGUGGCUUAACCGUGACCGCACAAAAUAGGAGGGCAUGGAAGGGCACCACAACUAGGAGGGCACCUUGUCCUUCUUGUUACAAAAGCCUCUUUAUUCUUAUCCAAUAGAAGUAGUACGUAGUCUUAUCUCACCUAAUGGUCUUUUCUGUCAAUUGAUUCUCUCAGUUUAUAUAUAAGCUUUGUUUGUUUCAAAAUACAAAUUAGCUAAAUCAUAAACGUAAUGUGUUUCUGUUUGGAUCUUACUGUACACCAUUGAUCUGUUUAAUUGAGGCUGUUGAAUUUUAAUAUUUUUCUUAAAUAUUACUAUUGCUGAUUCGAAUUCAAUAGAGAAAACCAGGCAUUAUCCAUUGCUGGUUGUUUGUUGGAGAUCCAUUUGUUGAUAAAGACUUACUCAAGUGAUGGCAAGGAUUUUCCAACUUGGCUUGAGUAAAGAAAAGAUAAAAGAAGGUACCAUCCAUUUGUGAUAUUAUCCCUUUGGCCAAUUUGAUAAUUUAUUCUUUUUGGCCAAUUUGAUAGUAUUUCCUAAUAGAAUGCUCAGUGUUCAUUAAGAUAAAGAUGGCCAUCAAAAGGCCUUUGGUAGCCACGGUAUGGACUUUACAACACGUUCAAGCGUAUUAGUCCUAUAAAUACAUAAAACCGUGUAAUGAGAAGGCAACCUUCAACUUAACAUACAAAUAUGCCUUGCACAAAUCUCGCUCUAGGCGAACACUUCUCACACUCAGAGAACUAACUAACUCACAUUUUGAGAAAUCACUAACUCUCCACUUUCCUAACUACUUAAAGCUCGAUUGAUUAUCUAUCCAAGUCUCAGCUGACGAGGAGUCCUUGAUUCUUUAAUUGAACGAGGUCACUUUACUAGCUUUCCAACCAAAUUAAGUGUUUUAUGCUUGGUUACUUCUGGUACAUUUUAGAGUUCGGUAUUCUGACGGUUGAACAACAUUUACCAUCAAGACAUUUAUCUCUUUCGAGUACGAGUAUCCUUACAGUUUAACUCCGAACUGAUCAGAGCACUUAUAUUUUCACAAAUAUAGUCGAGGCGGCCGAACCUGGUGCAAAAGAUCAUGAACUUCACAGUGACUAACAACCUUUUUGACAUCACCACCACAUUCAUUCUACUAACCGACCGAGUUCGAUGGCAAGUUAGCACGACCGCAUUCAUCAUAAUGACGUAGUUAGCUUUUUGUUAUUCAGUCUACGUGUAAGUAAACUUGAUAGUUUUUAAGGUCAACAAUUUCACAAAUUGUGCUUUACAUUCUAACAAGUUUUACGAUCUCAACUUAUACUAGACGAAGGCGGACGAUCGAUUGUUAGUUGUUGCUGCGAGUUUCAUUGUGAUUGCGGAUGUAUAAUUGACAUACAAUCGUAACGUGUGUUUGUGGGCAAAGCAACUCUCUAGACAUCAAAAGAUAAGGUCUUUAGUUUUAUUCAGAAUUUGAGGUGUCUAUAUAAGUCACAAAAACCAAGAAACCUCUCGAACUCGUACCUUGGAUGCAGUGGAUGGGUUCCUAUCACAUGGUUGUCGCCAAAGGCAACAGAAGAGUACUCGCUAUAAUACUAAAUUAACAUGGUCCACUAGACGGUGGCUUUCCACCCUUUUUGUCGAUCGUGAGAGUAUGAUUUGGCCAAAUGCACUGUUAUUCUCCCAAAGUCGAGGUCAAUUUAGUAAACUAAUAUAUAGAAGUUUUUAAAAGUCACUAGUCUAGUAGCGGGUAGAGGCCUGUCGCUUAGGGGGGCCUAGGUAAUUUUUUAUUUUUAAUUAAUUUUUUAUAUAAUAUAUAGAUAAAUAUCUACUUAUAUUUUUUUUAAAAUAUAACUGUAUUGAGAUACAUUAAUUAGAAAAUGGAACUAUAUAUAAAUUAUAAAGUAUUAGAAUUGAAAACAUGGGGAAUAAACAUAUAAUGAGUGUUCAUCUCAAUAUUUAACAAGUUUUUUACAAUUUAUUGAAAAAAUAAAAUGUAAAAUGAAAGUUAUCUAUUUUCUAUCUAAAUGAGAGUUACGAUCUAGACGAGCGCCUACGCAGAUCUAGACGCUCUUUCUUAGUUUUCAAACGUCUAGUGAUCAAUCAAAGCGAUGACUACCUGCUUAGCGCCUAGGCAGGCUUAAGCGAAGCUAGGCGGUAAUUUUUAAAAGAAUGUGAUAUAUAGUUAGUAAUGAUAGCUACAAGGAAGAAAGAAACAACCCCACUGUACGAAACCAAAAACACUAAGCUACGAUGUGUUCUUAUCAUCUUAAGUUGUCCUACGAAUAAGUUAUGAAACCUAAUAUUAUGUUGUUGACCUAACCAAGUAGCUAGUAGCUAGUAUCGUUCACAUCAUCACUCCUAAAGUAACUUGAGGUAAAUUAGUUGCAAGAUAGCUAGAAUACAGAUCCGUCAAGGGACAUUUUUGUAAGACACAUUUUUAUUGAAAGCGCUACAAAUUUUUAUCGAAAAUUCAAGUACAUCUUGUUGGAGCAUAACGUGGUAUUGUUUGCAUACAUCAUGUAAAACUUUUACAUGUUAGGAUUUAACAAAGCAAGUAUUUUACGUUUUCAUCUCUCACACUUCAUUGUGAUCGAAACUCAAAAGAAAGAUGAUAAUAAGGUCAACUAGUACCCUAAUGAAUAUGAUUUUUAAUUUUCCGUGUAUUGCAUUACGGUUAAAAUGCAAGAUUUUUCCAAUAUUAAACUAUCAUAAGUAGUGUGUGAUGUCAGAGAUAUUACGAGACGAAGAACUUGCUGGUUCUAGUAUGAAAAUUGUUUUUGAAAUUUUGAUUUAAAAUGAUUCAGUCUUCAUAGGUGUCGGCGGGUUGGAUUGGUUUUUAGCUUAAAAGACCAUUUCUGUCCAUUAAUGUUGGUAGUCAGUUGAAUCAAUUAUUUUUUCUACGUGUUUAAUCUUAAACAAAAUUAAAAAAACGGUUUGUUUGGGGAAGGCUGUUAUUUAUUUUUAUUAAUUUUGAAAAAGUCGCGGUAAAAUCCCGGACAACUGUCAGCAGCUGGAGUCACUGUCAGUCGCGCUUGCACGCCGCCGUAGCUUAUUAAACUCCGGUCACUCACUUCCGCUCGUCUUCCGCCGGAAACGCCCUUUUUUUUUUGCUCGAUCAAUAAAAAUUAAAGUUAAAAAAAAAAGAAAAGAAGAAGAACGUUUCUGAAUUACCAAUCAGCUCUUCAACUUCCAUUGGCCACAGCAGUACAGAGCACUGUGUCUCUCUACUUUCUCUCUCUACACACUCUCUCGUAUACUUUCUCUCUCUAUACAGAGAGAAACACAGCACGAGAGCUCUCUGUUGGUAUUUUUUACGGACGUACACGCGGUUGUGUAGGCGUAGAUUCCUUUGCCCCCACUGCGUCAUAUAAUUUUAUCAAUAAAUAAAUGCCAAAAAGCUCUCUCUCUCCCCGCUGAAACCGCAUUUAUACACAGAGAGAGGGCCUAUUCCUAACGUUUUCCUCAUUUUUAUGUGCUGCUUUGGUUUGCCUAUAUUCACUCCUCCUCCGGGGAUCUCAGCCGUCCUCCGCCGCUCUUGCGAGAAUUCACCGGCUCAGCUGUCACCGGCAAGUUUCUCUCUUUGCUUUGGUAUUUAUUUCUGCUGAAAUUUUAAGCUGUUUUUUGUUUGUAAAGUUGGAAACUUUGCUGUGAUGGAAUUGAUGGGUUUUGAGUAUGUUGAUUUUGUGCGGAUUUUGAGGGCAUAAGUGGGUAAUUUGUGGAUUUUGGGCAGAUGGGCAGAUGGGCAGCUGUUGUUUUAGCCCAGUGCAUACGUGGUCUACAGUGUACUGCUUUUGGAUUUCUGGGGAACCUAUAGAGAAUAAUUGCCAGAAAGAUAUGGUCUUGUAGUGUAAACUUAUUGAUUUCUGGGUGAAAUCGAAGGUUUCAUAUCUGGGUUUGUUUUAAUUCGUUGAAUUGGGGAUUUAUAUCUCGUGGAAUUGGACUAUUGGCGUUAUAAAAUUCUGGAGUUUUUGUGGAAUUUGGAUUUAUGGAGGCUUUUGGAGGCAGAGCUCGGAAUUUCUAUGGUACGAUGGUGCCGGAUUUGAAGGGGGCUGGGAAAAAGAGUUUGGAAUGGGAUUUGAAUGAUUGGAAAUGGGAUGGUGAUCUUUUUACCGCUAGUCCUUUGAAUGCUGUACCAUCUGAUUGUAGGAGCAGGCAGUUGUUUCCGCUUGGGCUGCCGGAAACUCCCUCCACUGCUGGUUUGUCCAACAGUUCUUCUUCUGGUUCGGACGGUAUCUGUCCAGGGAAUGAGAAAGGUAAAAGAGAGCUGGAGAAAAGAAGAAGGGCUAGUUUUGUAGAAAAUGAAGGGCUAACUGAUGAAGUUGGGUCUCUUAAUCUCAAGCUUGGCGGGCAAGCUUACCCAAUCAUGGAAGGAGAGGUACAACAUGGGAAGAAGACGAAGAUAGUUGGGACUACUUUAAACCGAGCAGUUUGUCAGGUGGAGGACUGUAAGGCUGAUCUUAGCAAUGCCAAGGAUUACCACCGACGACAUAAGGUCUGUGAUAUGCAUUCUAAGGCAACUAAAGCGGUGGUGGGAAAUGUUUUGCAGCGGUUCUGUCAGCAGUGUAGCAGGUUAGUUCAAUUCUAUGGUUGUCCUUGUAUGGUGAGAAAUAUUUCAAAUUUUCUUCAGUUAAGUUCUACGUCGUUUAUUCGGUGCUUUCUUAUAGACAUUGUUUCUAGAAGAUGAAAUACAGAGUUUGAUUUGUAAGUUUUAAAAAAAUUAUUUGUUGCUCUCAUGAUUUGGGUCCAUAGUUGUUCAUCACUGUGUUUGGUAUAGUCGAAUUUUGAAGAACUUUUUUGUUGAAUUUGGAAUGUGGUUAUACUUAUGGGCAGGUUUCAUGGCCUUCAAGAGUUUGAUGAAGGAAAGAGAAGUUGUCGUAGACGUUUGGCAGGCCACAAUAGGAGGAGAAGAAAAACACAUCCUGAUACUGUAGUUAAUGGAGGCUCAUUGAAUGAUGAAAGAGGAAGCAGUUAUCUAUUGAUUAGUUUGCUGAGAAUACUCUCCAACAUGCACUGUAAAUCUUUGUGUUAUUGCACAUUCAAUUUUUGGCUGCUUUGCCUGACAUUAAAUUGAUAUGCUAAGUGUAUGUUAAGUGGUUACCGGAUUGUGUGUUGAUUGCCAUAGACUGAUGUCAAAGUUCUUGUGGUCUUUUGCUCUUAGGUUUUGUCAUUAUUUGAUUGAGGCUUGUAGCAAAAUGAUUAUGUCAAUUAACAUUUAAUAACUCCACUCAUAAAUUUUUAUUUGUAAACAUACAACAUAUUACUUGAUGAGUCCUUAACUGCUUAAGGUGCUCUAUUUUUGUGUAUAAAUGACAAAGUGCUAGUUUCUCUGAAUUUAAUUUGAUGAAAAUUUGAAUAUUGAUGCUUACGCAUGAAAAGUUUUCAGUUUUUCAGAGGUUGAUUUGAUAGAAAGUUAGAAUUUUGUGCAGACCUUCAUGUCGAAAAAUAUUUCAAUUUUUAUAAUCCAGAUUACACCUUGUGUGCUUGAAUUUCAUCCCUUGAACCCUUGUUUUUUGCACUUUCUUUCUCUGAUUGUUGGACUGUCCAUAUUUCACAUUCUAGGAUGCAUGAAGGAAGGGCCUAUUAAAGGGAAUUCUAAUUAGGAAUUGUUAUUUAGGAAAUUAUGUCUCAGUGAUCAUGUUAUUAUAAUAUUUAUUUGAUUAUGUUUGUGUUUGUUUUUCUUCUCAUAAGUGUCUUACUCAACUCCACUUUUGAUGCCUAAAAUGCAGCUAAUAGUUCAGAUCAAACAAAGGAUCAGGAUUUGCUAUCUCAUCUUUUGAAGAAUCUAGCCAAUCUUUCUGGUACAGUUGAUGGAAGAAACAUGUCUGCAUUGCUUACGGCAUCUCAAGGUUUAAUAAAUGGCGGGGCAUCAAUUCAGACUGCACAAAAGGUCCCAGAUACAGUUUCCAACGGCUGUGAACCAAGUAAGCCUUCUGUUUCAGCCUCUAAAAUGGAUGAUUAUAUUAAUGGUGAGGACCCUUCAAGACCUAUACGACAGUGUUCUACGGUACCUGCAUCAGAUUUCAGGAGAAUAUCUUCAGUUGAUGCAGAUCAUGGAGGUCUACAAGUUGUUUCAGGUCUAAAUGCCACGAAGCCAUUUCCUUCAAGAGACAGUGUUCCAUCCACAUCAGUUGCACCAGAAGCUACAAUGGGGAGGAUGCAGUUAAAUGGCAUUGAUUUAAAUAAUACAUAUGACGAUUCCCAGGACUAUUUGGACAACCUAGGGAAUUCGCAUGCCCCUGUAAAUUCAGGGACAGUGGCUCAUGGUUUUCCCUUUUGGAUGCGUCAGGAUUCGCAAAAGUCUAGCCCACCUCAGACAAGUGGGACUUCAUGCUCAACUUCAUCAAGUUCUAGUGGAGAUGCUCAGGUAUAUUCUUGUUGUACUUGCAUCUCGUUCCUCGUUAUUGCUUGGUAUAUUAAUGCUUGUAUAUGCCAUAACCUGUCCUUUUCUGUUGGAUAAAAGAAUAGCUUUGUUCUCACUUUAAUUUGGCAUUUAGGUGACAAUGCUUUGCAUUCGACUUGUCCGUUUGUCUAGCCAAUUGAUUGAAAAAACAUGAAGUACUCGGCAUACCUAAUAAAUACUUCUGUUGUGACGUAAGAGUCAAGAUGGAUUCUCUUCUUUUGUAUAGUGCUUUGUAUGUAUAAAUGUGUGCGUAUGCUUCUGCUUGAUAAGGUUUAUAGAGUUGUAGUUAAACUACAGGAGGUUGCAGGCUAUAUCAGUUAGAGUUGAGUAUUUUUUAAAUAUUUUUUAUUAUGAAGGCCAGUGUGUAAAAUGUUACUGCACUGUUACGUCUCUUAACCACUCUUUUUCUGCCGUGUUUCAGAGUCGCACAGACCGUAUUGUUUUUAAACUCUUUGGAAAAGAUCCAAAUGAUCUUCCAUUUGUUCUACGAGCACAGGUAAUAUUUGGUGCCUUGAUUUAAUUCUUCACAAUGUAACUUGUGUUUCCUUGCACAUACAACAAUUUUAUGAAAUAUUUUGAAUAUCCAGAUUCUCAACUGGUUGUCCCACAGUCCUACUGACAUUGAAAGCUACAUAAGGCCGGGAUGUAUCAUUUUGACAGUUUACCUCCGUCUAGAAAAAUCCACGUGGGAGGAGGUAUGUUUCUGUGCUGAUGCCAAAAUGUUGAUUGCUGACCUUGUAUCAGGGAGAUCUCUUUUCUUGUCCUUAAUUGUUAUGUUUGCCUGCAGCUCUGCUGUAAUCUGGGAUCCAUUAUAAAACAACUUUUACAUGCUGCCAAUGAUCCUUUUUGGACAACAGGAUGGGUGUAUACUAGGGUGCAACAUUCUGUAGCAUUUACGUACAAUGGUUUGUUCUCUCUCUCUCUCUCUCUCUCUCUCUCUCUCUCUCUCUCUCUCUCUCUCUCUCUCUCUUAAUUAUUCAUUCAUAUAUUUUCUAGCUCAUUUAGUGAUUUACCAAUAGUUGUGUUAUGAAAGAAAAGACAUUUUAAAUAGUUAUGUCUGUACUGCAGGUCAAGUUGUCUUAGACACACCCUUACCUCUGAAAAGCCAUAAAAAUUGCAAGAUAUCAUGCAUCAAACCAAUUGCAGUUUCUUUAUCCGAAAGAGCUGAAUUUGUAGUAAAGGGGUUUAAUCUUUCUCGUGCCACCACAAGGUAUCCUUAUCUUUCAUUCAAGCUUCAUUAUGUAGACCACUCCAGUGUCAUAUGUUAUUUCUGAAUUAGUAACUAUCAGGAUAACUGGGAAGGAGGAAAGUACUAAGUCCUAGCUUGUGACAGGUUGCUCUGUGCUCUGGAAGGGAAGUAUCUAGUCCAAGAAACUUGUUAUGACUUGAUGGAUGGUGCUGAUACAACCUUUGCGAAUGAUCAGCUACAGUGCCUCAGAUUCUCCUGCUCUAUACCCAAUGUUACUGGCCGAGGACUCAUUGAGGUGCUGUUCCAUUCUUAAUAUAUGUUUUAUAUUUCCUUUGAAGUGUGCUUAUCAUUACUUAUUUAUUUAUUUUUAUUUCAGGUUGAAGACCAUGGUCUCAGCGGCUGCUUCUUUCCAUUUAUAGUUGCCGAGCAGGAAGUAUGUUCAGAGAUUUGUACCCUGGAGGGUGCGAUUGAGGUGGCUGAGACUGCAGAUAACAUCCAGACAGAACCUGAAAAGUUGGAAGCCAAGAACCAAGCGUUGGACUUUGUACAUGAAUUGGGUUGGCUCCUUCACAGAUGUCACACUAAAUUUAGACUUGGUCACGGGGAUCCCAACUUAGAACUAUUUUCUUUUAGACGGUUCAGGUUGCUUAUGGAGUUUUCCAUGGACCGUGAUUGGUGUGCUGUAGUGAAGAAACUCCUGGGCAUUCUGCUUGAGGGUACCGUUGACACUGGAGAACAUCCUUCUAUUGAGCUUGCGUUAUUGGAUAUGAGCCUCCUCCACGGAGCCGUGCAAAGAAAGUGCAGGCCUAUGGUGGAACUCUUGUUAAGAUUUGUCCUAGACAAAGGGUGGCAACAAGUUGACGGGGACGGCAGCAACUUCUUAUUUAAACCCGAUGCAGUUGGGCCCAUGGGAUUGACUCCUCUUCAUGUUGCAGCCAGUACUGAUGGAUGUGAGAAUAUAUUGGAUGCCUUAACUGAUGAUCCUGGAAAGGUAAUUUCUCAUUGUCUUCUUUGACAGUUUUCUUUCUAAUUGGAUGUAAAAAUCAGAACAGGUCUGCAUCAUUAUCCAUUUUUCUCCGUACGUGUUUGACCGUUUGCUCAUACAAAUGACUCAUGUCAGCUCAUUCUGUGUCUCACAUGAAUGUUGAUAUUUCAAAUCGUUGUAUUUUCAAGCAUACAAAUGUUGAUAUCUUUGCUUCUUUAGGUGGGAAUUGAAGCGUGGAAAAAUGCUCGAGACAGUACAGGAUUGACACCAAAUGAUUAUGCAUGCCUGCGAGGCCGCUACACCUAUGUCCAAAUUGUCCAGCGGAAAAUCAACAAGAAACAUGAAAGCGGGCACGUGGUGCUUGAUAUCCCUGGCGUUAUCUUAGACAGCAGCAGCAAGCAGAAACAAUUAGAUGGGCAUAAGUCCUCAAAAGUCUCCAUCUUGGAGACCGAAAGGAUCGAUAUGAAAGCAAUGCAGGCACAUUGCAAGCAAUGUGAAAUGAAACUAGCAUAUGGAAACACAAGGUCGUUUGUGUACAGGCCGGCAAUGCUGUCAAUGGUAGCCAUUGCUGCUGUCUGUGUUUGCGUGGCCUUGCUCUUCAAAAGCUCGCCUGAAGUCCUUUAUGUCUUCCAGCCCUUCAGGUGGGAACUCUUGGAGUAUGGACCGAGCUAAGGCAGUUUACGCGUCUCAAAUUUUAGUUACUCUGGCUUUAGGCCGUUUGUGUUAAUCAUAUGUAUAAACGGAUAACUCAAAUUUUAGUUACUCUGGCUUUAGGCUGUUUCUGUUGAUCAUAUGUAUAAACCGAUAACUCUAUAGGGAACAUAAUGUACCAGUUUUCGUAUCCGUUAAGAUUUCCACGAGAGGUGUUGCACUGUAUGUAUUAAUGAUAGUUCAUAUAAAGCGUGUAUAGGGAAAGAUUGACGUAAAUAGUACUAUUGACCAAUUGUUGAGGCAAUAGAUUGCUGCAUUACUUCCAAAAACACAUACAAACAUUGUAUUCGAUGAGGCGGAAGAUUCGGACUUGAAAAUUCUUUCGCUUUUAAGUCAGCUUUCUUAAACAGAAGACAAUAUUUAGUAGGGCGGCCUGACUAAUAAUUUCUUUCGCUUUUAAGUCAGCUUUCUUAAACAGAAGACAAUAUUUAGUAGGGCAGCCUGACUAAUAAGUAGGUUAGACUACUCUUGCUAAAUUUUAUGCAUUGAGAGUUGUAUUUACGUAAGACUGGAUGGUGACCAAAUACAUAGAAUCACGUUCCUUCAUGAGGGGAUAAGGCUGUCUCACAAAGGUUGGAGCUUUGUGCUUACUUAGAUACAUGAAUCUCGUUCUUUCGUGAGUCAACUUUUCAGGUUAUUCAACUCAAAUGUUAUGAAUAAAAUUGGGCCAAAAUUAGAUCAAACAGUUGUUUUUCUCCAAAUAUUUUUAAUUUGGUCAAAUGCAUGAAUCUCGUUCUUUAGUGAGAUAACUUUUCAUGUUAUUCAACUCAAACGUUAUGAAUAAAAUUGGACCAAAAUUAGAUCAAACAGUUGUUUUUCUCUAAAUAUUUUUAAUUUGGUCAAAUCCAAUCCGAGUCUAAUAUUAACUAGCAAAAAAAAAAGCAGAAAAAUGGAUUUUACAGGCUAAUAAAAUAAUAGGAAAAGGACUCCAGUCACAGAGACACGUUGACUCAUAUUUUGACAUGAAAUUGUUUUCCACUUCAACAAGUCAUAUUCAUGGUCCUUACAUAGUGUACACAAUUAUUACCUUGUUUAAUCUUUUUCAAUUAUUUUGUCGUUUUGAACCUUUUUUCUUUGGUUUAAUUGCCAAUAAUUCAAGCAUUAAAUCUUGAUCUCGAAAUGGAACAAUUUUCCGGUGUACUAAGAUCACGUUCACGUAAAAUUACUGGUUCAUUUAAAUUAUAUUACGUAGAUUUGUUAAUAUUAAGUUUAGGUUAAAUCUCACAAUAAUUAGUAAUAAUAUGACGAGAAUUAAACUUGAAAUAUAUCACUUAUAAUAAAAUAAAAUAUCAUUAGUUUAAAUAUUAAAAUGAUACACCUCGUAACUUGUAACGCUGUUAAUUUCUAAUCGAAAUCAAAAGGAGACGCGUCAUUUGAGGCCACCACCUCUCUCCUCUCACUCUCCCCACUGAAACCGAAUUUACACAGUAAGAGAACCCUUUUCCUAACCUUUUCCUAAUUUUCAUGUGCUGAUUAGCUUUGUCUCGGGGCCUAUAUUCUCUCUGCCUCAACUGCGAUCUCAGCCACUUCUUCGUCAGCUCUCAGUUCUCAGCUCAUCUCCCAACAAUUCACCAACCUGCCGGCAAGUUUCUCUCUCUUUACUCUCUCGCUCUCCUCUUUAUUUCCACAAAAAAAGAUUGGGUCUUUCAGUUCUUUCAGCUCAAGUUUCUUUCCAUGGAGUUGAAAGCAUUGACUAGGAUGUAAUUGUGGGCUUGCAAAUACGGUAUUUUGUACUGACUUGUUGAGAGAAAAACUGGGUAAUUGGUGGAUUUUGGGUUCUGGGCAGCUGUAGCCUGUAGUUUAGCUCCAUUUUUAUGCUGGUGUGCUGUUCUUGGUUUUCUGGGGUUCUUGGAAAGAACAAUUUCCAGAAAUUUCUGGGGCUGUGGUGUUAUUGACUUUUUGUUUUGGGGUGAAAUUUAUAGUUUUAUCUCUGAGCUGUAGUUGUUGUUAUUGUUCAAUUGGGUGUUUGUAUCUGGUGGAGUUUGACUAGGGGGCAUUGUAACAUCUCUGGGUUUUUUGUAUCUUGAUCUAUGGAGUCUGAAUUCGGAGGAAAGGCUUGUAAUUUUCGUGGUGUGAUGGUGCCGAAUUUGAAGGGGGUUGGGAAAAAGAGUUUGGAAUGGGAUUUGAAUGAUUUUAAAUGGGAUGGUGAUCUUUUUACUGCUAGUCCAUUAAAUUCUACACCAUCUGAUGGUAGGAGUAGGCAGUUGUUUCCGGCCAGGCCAGAAACUCCGUCGGAUGCUGGUUUGUCCAACAGUUCUUCUUCUGGUUCGGAUAAUAUCAGUCCGGGGAAUGAGAAAGAUCAAAGAGAAUUGGAGAAACGGAGAAGGGAUUUUUUUGUGGAAAACCGAGAGUUGAAUGAUGAAGCUGCGUCUCUGAAUCUUAAACUUGGCGGGCAAACUUACCCCAUUAUGGAAGAAGAAGUACAAACCGGGAAGAAAACAAAGACAAUUGGGACUACUUCAAACCGUGCAGUUUGUCAGGUGGAGGACUGUAAGGCUGAUCUUAGCAAUGCCAAGGAUUAUCACCGGAGGCAUAAGGUCUGUGCUAUGCAUUCUAAGGCAACUAAAGCGCUGGUUGGAAGUGUUAUGCAGCGGUUCUGUCAACAGUGUAGCAGGUUGGUUCCAUCCUAUUGUUAUUUAUUGUUUGGUUGAAACAUUUCCCCGAUUUUCUUGAAUUAACUUGAAAUACAGAGUUUGGUUGUGUAAAUUUUGUUGUCAUGCGUUUGUUGUGCAUGGCUGUUCAUCAAUCUUCUUACGGUAUGGUUGAGUUCUGCAGAAGGUUUUUUUUGUUGAAUUAAAUGUAACAGGGUUAACACUCGUGGACAGGUUUCAUGCUCUUCAAGAGUUUGAUGAAGGGAAGAGAAGUUGCCGUAGGCGUUUGGCUGGCCAUAAUAGGAGGAGAAGAAAAACACAUCCUGAUACUGCAGUUAAUGGAGGCUCUUUAAACAAUGAAGGCGGAAGCGGUUAUCUAUUGAUUAGCUUGCUGAGAAUACUUUCAAAUAUGCACUGUAAGUACUUGCCUUAUUCAUUGUACACUUCUGUCUUAGUGAAACAUUGUAUCUCAGAUUUAUUUGAAUCCGCAUAUUAUGCCAUUUAUAAAUUGCAGCUAGUAGUUCUGAUCAAACAAAGGAUCAGGAUGUCAUAUCUCAUUUGUUGAGGAGCUUAGCCAAUGUUGCUGGUACGGCUGAUGGAAGAAACAUAUCUACAUUGCUGCAGGGAUCUCAAGGUUUAUUUAACAGUGGGACAUCUGUCCAGACUGCACGAAGGGUUCUAGAUAUGAAUGCUGGUGUUAAUACUGAGGACCCUUUAAGGUCUAAAGGACACUGUUCGAUACUACCUGCAUCAAGAGACAGUUCUGAAUCCAAAUCAGUUACACCGGAAGCUACAAGUAGAAGGUUCCAGUUAAAUGAUUGAUUUAAAUAGUACAUAUGAUGAUUCACAGGACUAUGUAGAGAACCUAGGGAAUUCUCAUGUUCCUGCAAGUCCAGGCACUGCAUCUCUUGGUUUUCCUUCAUGGAUGCAGCGUGAUUCUCAUAAAUCAAGCCCACCUCAGACAAGUGGGAAUUCAGACUUAACUUCUACUCAGUCACCGUCAAGUUCUAGUGGAGAAGCUCAGGUAUAUCCUUGUAAUUGCAUCUAUUCCAUAAUUGCUUGGUAAUAUAAUGCUUAAAAAUGCCUUUGUCGUGGAUGAUGCUCAGCCCACUGUAAUUCGUCUUUUUUUUAAUCUUUUUUUCCAUGAGACCAGGGAUUAAUAUAUCAAUUGUCAUUAAUCAUUAUACGGCGUAUAACUUGUCUUUUGUUUGGAUAGUAGAAUACCUUUGUUCUAUCCUUGAGAGUAGUUAGGCAGUCAUGUAUUGUGUUCUGAACGUGUCUGUGUAUCUUUCCAUGGAUUGUCAAAAUAAUGGCGAGGUUAAGUGCGCUCGCUGCUUGGUUAUGGGAUAUAUGUAAGAAAUGCUUCAAUUGUGACUUAAAGUUGAGAUCAGUUAUCUCUUCCUUCAAACCAAUAUGGCAGUUUACAAGCGCAACCACACACACAAACAUACUUGUUGUGUAUACGUCUUCUUGAUGCUGUUAAUAGAAUUGAGGUUAAAGUUACCUGGUGGUUUCUGCAGUCCUAAUGGAACAUGCAUUAUUUAUGUAAAAGGCCAGUAUGUAGAAUGUAUCUGCAAUUUUACGUUUCUUGACUGCUCUUUUUCUGCCACAUAUCAGAGUCACACAGACCGAAUUAUUUUUAAACUAUUUGGAAAAGACCCUAAUGAACUUCCACUUGCUCUGCGAUCACAGGUACUAUAUUUCCUUUGAUUUUUCUAGUUUUCAAAGUACUUUUCAAAGUAUUUUGGUGUUUCAUUCCACGGACUCCAUGAUUUUUAUAAAUUAUUUGAAUAUCCAGAUCCUCGACUGGUUAUCUCACAGCCCUACCAACAUUGAAAGCUACAUAAGGCCGGGCUGUAUCAUUUUGACAAUUUACCUUCGUCUAGAAAAAUCCACGUGGGAGGAGGUAUUCUCGACUGUGGAUGGCAGAUCCUUGUAUGAGGAAGACUUUUUCUUCAAGUCCUUAAUUUUGACAAUUCACCUCUCCCAGACCCUGAUUAAAGCGGGAGCCUUGUGCACUGGGUACGACCUUUUUUUUUAUAAUUAUUUUUGCUUACAGUUCUGUUGUCAUCUGGGAUCCAGUUUGAAAACACUUCUUGAUGCUGCGGAUGAUCCUUUUUGGAGAACAGGAUGGGUGUAUACAAGGGUGCAAGAUUAUGUAGCAUUUACAUACAAUGGUUUGCCUCUCUCUCUCUCUCUCUCUCUCUCUCUCUCUCUCUCCCCCUCUCAUUUCGUGUGUGCGUACACAUUUGUGUAUUUAGGGUCUAUAGAAGAAUCUUGCUGUUUUAGUUUUCCAUUAUGCUUUAUUGAUUUUGGUCAUGCUUUGUUUUGUUAUUUCUAGUACAUAAUGAGGAUUGACCAAAAACAUUAACCUUAUAUGAGAGAAGCAUUUUGAUUAGUUAUGUCCAUCCUGCAGGUGAAGUUGUGUUAGACACACCCUUGCCUCUUAAAAGCAAUAAAAGUUGCAGGAUAUCAUGCAUCAAACCAAUUGCGAUCUCCUUAUCUGAGAGAGCUGAAUUUAUAGUAAAAGGCUUUAACCUUUCUAGUUCCACCACAAGGUUCUUUCAUCUUUCAUUCAUGCGUCAUUACUUUGUUUUCAAUAUUCCUCUCUAGUUUUAUAGGAUAACAGAAGAAAUACUAAAUUCUAGAUCUUGAGUCUUGACAGGUUACUCUGUGCUCUAGAAGGGAAGUAUCUGGCUCAAGAAACUUGUUAUGACUUGUUGGAUGAUGCGGAUAGCACUGUUGAGGAUGACGAACAACAAUGCCUUAAAUUCUCCUGCUCUAUACCAAAUGUUACUGGGCGAGGAUUCAUUGAGGUGCUGUCAUAUUCCUAAUUGUCCCUUUCCCCCUUCCUCCUCUUGUAAUGUGCAUUUUGAACGAGCCGUAUUUUAUAAGUCCGGAAUUUGUUUAUAAAUCUUCUUAUGAAUACUGAGUAUAGAUUUGUUUCUAGACAGCGCCUUAACUGAAAUCCACGGUUCUCAUUUUAUUGGUCAAAUUUAUGUCAGGUUGAAGAUCAUGGUCUCAGCAGUAGCUUCUUUCCAUUUAUAGUUGCAGAGCAGGAAGUAUGCUCUGAGAUUUGUAUGCUGGAAGAUGUGAUUGAGGUGUCCGAGACUGAUGAUGAUAUCCAAUCUGGACCUGAAAAAGUGGAAGCUAAGAACCAAGCCUUGGACUUUAUACAUGAAUUGGGUUGGCUCCUACAUAGAAGUCGCGUUAAGUUUAGACUGGGUCAAUUGGAUCCCAAUCUAGAUACAUUUCCCUUUAGACGGUUCAGAUUGCUCAUGGAGUUCUCCAUUGACCAUGAUUGGUGUGCUGUGGUGAAGAAACUCUUGGGCAUUCUGUUUGAUGGUACUGUCGACGCUGCAGAGCAUCCUUCCCUUGAGUCUGCACUACUGGAUAUGGGCCUCCUCCACAGAGCUGUGCGAAUCAAUAGCAGACGUAUGGUGGAAUUCUUGUUAAGAUUUGUCCCAGGUUUAACAGGAUCUGAGCAGAAGGAACAAGUUGACAGGGACGGCAACAGUUUCUUGUUUAAACCUGAUGUUGUUGGGCCCAUGGGGUUGACUCCUCUUCAUAUUGCCGCCAGUACUGAUGGCUGUGAGCAAGUAUUGGAUGCCUUAACUGAUGAUCCUGGAAAGGUAAUAUCUCCGUUUUUUGAAUUGCAACAUAAUAUUUUUCUUCUAAUUCUAUGUAGAAAUCACUUUGCGCUGGCUACAACCUCCAUCCCAUCUCCAUACCCAUUUGAACUCUUGCGCCUACAGUUGACCUGUGUCUGUUCUCAUACUGUUUCACACACGUGUUUUGAUGAUUUUAACUCAUUCUAAUUUCCAGCAUGUCAGGUUGCUCACGGAUUUUAGAUCUGUAAUCAUGUCUUCUUUGACUUUGAGCUCUCUCUUUAGCUUUUCCACUGUCUUCUGCCUAAACAAAAUACACUGAUUCCAGUUAUUGAGUUGUAUUUCAAAUUCUCAAUUAACCAAUCCUAGACAAAUUAUGCAGUCUUGUAUUUUCUUUGGCUUGCGAAACAUAUGAAACAUAAAUCACCGUAGAAAAGUUAAAUGCGCCAUUCAAAUUGGUAAAGAAAGCAGCACCCCACAUCUAAAUGCAUGCUAACUCUUUCACAGCUGAAAGCGGCACCCAAAUUCUACAUUCAACUUGAAAUCAAAUAGGACUGCUGUUAAAAUUUUUGACGAUAAAUGAAUUAUGAUUCUUUUCAUCGUUCUAGUUUCAACUUUCAAGCAUGUGUUUAGGACUGCUGUCAUGAAAUUUCUUUAGUGUCAGAUAAUCCAUUCAUCAAGUUGAUAUGGGCGUUUUUUUCUUUAGGUGGGAAUUAAAGCAUGGAAAAACACUCGAGACAGCACAGGAUUGACACCAUAUGAUUAUGCAUGCCUUCGAAGCCGCUACUCCUAUGUCCAUAUAGUCCAGCGGAAAAUCAGCAAUACACUGGAAAGCGGGCAUGUGGUGCUUGACAUCCCUGGCCUCACGUUAGACAGAAAUGGAAAGCAGAAGCAAUCGGAUGCGCAUAAAUCAUCAAGAGUAGCCAGCUUGGAAACUGAAAGGAAUGAUAUAAAAGCAAUCUUACGACACUGCAGGUUAUGUGAACAGAAACCAGCUUAUAGCACCACACGGUCACUUGUAUACAGGCCGGCAAUGCUGUCAUUGGUGGCUGUCGCUGCUGUCUGCGUUUGCGUGGCCUUGCUCUUUAAAAGCAAUCCGGAAGUUGUUUUCGUGUUGGAGCCAUUCCGGUGGGAACACUUGAAGUUUGGUUCAAGCUAAGGUUAUAGUUUACGUGUAUUAAUUUAUAGUGACUCUGGUUAUACAUAGACCAUUUCUUUUCACGUGGAUAGGAGUAUAUUUUCUAUCUGAUUUUUAUAUGUAUAUCUAGGGCCACUCAAGCCAACAAGACUCUUCGCAUUGCAAUGGUCGGAACGUCUAUCGUAUCUGUAUUUGUAUACCUAAGCUUCCAAAAUAAACAUGGGCUGUCAUGGAUUUUGGUCCACCAGGUUUGAUUGUAUUUGUAUUUGUAUAACAGUGUUACAAACUGGAUGACACAUAAUUUCUCUGUUUGAUAUUUCUUUUUUUUUUUUCAAAAUAAACAUUUGGCACGAGGUGAUUCGGUGUUCGAUUAUUAGUGCAUUUACUGUAUAAAUUAAAUUUUAAUUUUAGAAAAUUCAGCAUUUUUGUUGGUUAUAUUGGAGGAAAUCGAACUUUGGUCUACUCUAAUUCUAACUUAUUACCAUACCCUCCUCCAUUAUUUGAGCUCAUAUAAGCAUAAGCACACUAAACAAGGUUAAGUAUAGAAGAAUUUGGGAAUUGAGAAUUAUUGUUUGAGCAUUAUUUCAUGUUUAGUGCAAAUUGAGGUUGAAUUAUUUUCUAAUUUUAUUAGUUUAAUCAUUUGGAUGAAUUUGUUCAUGCUUCCAUAUGAAAUCAUUAUUUUAUUAAAAUAAUUUAUUAAUAGUUCGAGAAAAACUUAAAUGGAGGUGCUCACGUCAUUCAUCACGCAUUCACAUUCACAUUCGUUACACGUUUCUCAUAAAAACAUAAAACUCUUUCAAAUGAAUAGGUUUCACUGAAUUUGGAUAAUAUCCGACUUUACAUAAGUACAAGUAUCAAUGCACAUGAUUCCAACCAGUAAUUAUUAUCUUAUUUGAAUUACUUACCCCGAAUCAGACCUGAAAAAGUGUAAUUUAUUCAAAUUUUAUUUUCUGAAAUUCAAAAAAAUAAAAUAAAAUUUGAGGAUAAGAAAAUAAAGGGUAAAGAGGUCAUUUGCAUGCCCUGCCUCCUAAAAUCCACCUCACUACUCACUACCCCGUCACUGCUCUAACAAUUUUGCAGGCCAAAGCCAUCCAUGGCUUCUUCAAUCUCUCUCUCCUUCUCUUCCUCUCUCCUCCCUCAUCCUCUUCCUUUCAACAAAUACUCCACCGCCACCGCCGCCGCCUCCCAGAAAUCCCAAUACCCCAACUUUAAGCUGCUCCUCCGCGCAUUCGCCAACCCAGCUGUAAGCCGUCGCUCCACUCCAUCUCCGUCUUCCGACACCAGAAAGAGGCACUGGAAGAAAGGUGAAUACCCAGGCGUCUCGGAGACGUCGGCUCCGGCGAAUUACAGAAAAACCCCUGGUCGUUCCACUUCAUCUGAGUCUUCCGACACCAGAAAGAAGCACUGGAAGCGAGGUGAGUUCCCGGGCGUCUCGGAGACGUCGACUCCGGCGAAUCACAGAAAAACCCCUGGUCGUUCCACUUCAUCUGAGUCUUCCGACACCAGAAAGAAGCACUGGAAGCGAGGUGAGUUCCCGGGCGUCUCGGAGACGUCGACUCCGGCGACUUACAGAAAAACCUCCGCUCGUUCCGCUUCAUAUCCGUCUUCCGACAACAGAAAGAAGCACUGGAAGCAAGGGGAGUUCCCGGGGGUCUCGGAGACGUCGAUUCCGGCUAUUUAUAGAAAACCCCCUUUGAAAAAUGUGAAGAAGAAGCUGGACCGGAAGAACAAUGCCAAGGCCUGGGUCAACACCGUCACGGAGGCCCUGUCAGACGCCAUUGACAAGAAGCAGUGGCUCCAAGCUCUUGAGGUUUUUGUCUUAAUCUAAACAAAAAUUAACAAAUUUUUCAUCUUUUUUCUUAUGUGUUUUUAGUUUGGUGAAUGUAAAUUGAUGCAAAAUUUAAAAAAAUGGUAUUUUUAUGCUUACCAAUUUAGUUUCUUGAACCAUGUUCUUGAAAAAUGUGAUCUUUUUAGCUGAAUGAUUUUAGUGGAAUUAUAAUUAAUUGGGUGUUUUUGUUUGGAAAAUGUAUGAUGAAAUUGGGUACUAUUACGUUCAGGUGUUUGACAUGCUUAGGGAACAACCAUUUUAUCAACCGAAAGAAGGGACUUACAUGAAACUCAUUGGUAUGCUUGGAAGGUGCGGCCAACCCAAUCGUGCCCGCCAGCUUUUCGAUACAAUGGUUGAAGAGGGCUGUGAACCAACUCUUGACCUUUACACAGCCUUGCUCGCGGCUUAUUGCCGGAACAAUCUGAUUGACGAGGCAUUUUCUGUUCUUAACCUGAUGAAGACUCUCCCGCAAUGCCAGCCUGACGUUUUUACUUACAGUACCUUGAUAAAGGUUUGCAUUGAUCAUUUGAAGUUUGAUUUAGUUGAGUCCUUGUAUGAGGAAAUGGCUGAGCGGUUGAUAGCUCCGAAUACAGUCACCCAAAACAUAGUGUUGAGUGGAUAUGGUAAGGCCGGGAAGUAUGACCAGAUGGAAAAAGUGUUGUCCGGGAUGCUGGAGGGUACAAGUUGCAAGCCUGAUGUCUGGACAAUGAAUGUUGUCCUUAGUGUGUUUGGAAACAAGGGUCAGAUAGAUAUGAUGGAGAGAUGGUAUGAGAAAUUCCGUGAUUUUGGGAUUGAGCCGGAAACUCGCACUUUGAACAUUCUGAUUGGUGCUUACGGGAAGAAAAGGCUGUAUGAUAAGAUGUCAACUGUGAUGGAGUACAUGCGCAAGCUUCAAUUCCCAUGGACAACCGCAACUUACAACAAUGUGAUAGAGGCUUUCGCGGACGUAGGAGAUGCAAAAAACAUGGAAUACACGUUUGAACAGAUGCGUGCUGAGGGCAUGAAAGCAGACACCAAAACAUUCUGCUGCCUUAUUAAUGGGUAUGCCAAUGCAGGCCUCUUCCAUAAGGUGGUUAGCUGCGUUCAGUUGGCUGGAAAGUUUGAGAUACCUGAGAAUACCACAUUUUACAAUGCGGUGAUAGCUGCAUGUGCAAAGGCAGAGGAUUUAAUGGAGAUGGAAAGAGUUUUCAACCGGAUGAAAGAGAAGCAAUGUCAACCGGAUUCCACAACAUACUCUGUCAUGGUUGAGGCAUAUAGUAAGGAAGGUAUGAACGACAAGAUCUACUACUUGAAGCAGGAGAUUGGUACUGAUGGUAAUCAAAGUGAUCAGAUUAGUGUUGAAGAAAAUCAAAGUGAUCAGAUUAGUGCCGAAGAGAAUCAGAGUGAUCAGAUUAGUGUGGAAGACAAUCAGAGUGAUCAGAUUAGUGAUGAAGGCAAUCAAAGUGAUCAGAGUAGUUUUGAAGAUAAUCAAAGUGAUCAGGCUUUUGGAGCUGAGUCUGGCGGUGUUGUCUAGUUGAGAUCUUUGGAGGCAACAGUAUGCUCCAAAAAUCCCUAAUCUCACAGGGCAAUUCCAUUCCCCGCAGUUCUUCUAAGGCAGCAGCAAACUCUUAUUGUGAAAUUGCCGAUCGAUCAGGUAAUCAAACAUUUCCAUUCUCGGAUGGGUGUUAGCAAUGCUGCUUCCUCCAAUUUUAUGUUUCUGGUGAAGGACUGUAUGGAUUGAUCUGAUAGACUGAUAACCCGGGUGAAACUUUAUGGAAAAUGAUUGUACAUACAGAGUUGAUAAGUGUCUCUCUCCAAACUUGAUGCGAUCUCUAAACUAGCAUGCAAAAUUGUACGACGAUUUGUAAGAGUGUUUAACUGUGUUCAACAGAGGAAUUGCUUUUUGUUAUUGCCUGAAAUGUUUUGAAUGUAACUUCACGUAUAUAUUGUCUGCAGCAGCUGCUGGACAAUCAUAGAAGGUGGUCUGUAAACACGUUGUUUUUGAAAAUUAAUCGCUCUUUUCGGUACAUUUUGUGCUGCUGUUGUUCGAAUGUUUUGGCACUUGAGGCAGACAAUUGAUCUGCAAUUAUCCCAAAAUGUAAGGGUCCAGCUCAACAAAACGCAGGGGUAAUUUGAUCAAAGAUGUAAGUUUUGUUAUAUUGACUUUUGAGUAGCAUUGGUAGUGUAAUAAACAAUAUCAGUAACGUUGAAUAAUAAUAAAUUUUACUUGGAUGCCGGCGUGUGUAGUAAGAAUAUGUCCAAAGUGGUUUGGACAACGACAUGAUGGUGCGUUAACUAAUAUGAUCUUAUCACGUGAUGAGAGAUAAAGGAGAGAUGAAUGUAUUCGUGACCUGGAGGUUAUUCUACACGUAAACUUGUAAAGAUAGGCAAACAGGGUGCUUUUUGGUUGAAACGAAAUGCUGAAUUGUUUACUCUUUCUUGUGUAAGAAGAGAAGACUUGUAUCGUAAUCAGGUACUAAUUGUUGUCUUUUGGUCCCACCUUACCUCACACUAUAAAUAAUGGCAUCUAAACCCGAUUAUUCACAGAGAAGCUUUCACAAAAGCAUAAAACUCUUAUAUUUUGGUUUCACUCGCCUCAAACUAGUCUCCCUCGUUGAAAUAGCUAACCUAGUUAGGAACUGUACACAAGUUUCUCUCGUAUCGAAGAAAGUCAAAGAAGUUUUUAGCUCACAAAAGCACAUAACCCCCUAUAUAUUCCAUUUGAAUCACCAUUUACAAAAUUUGUACUAACUUUCCAGUCGAAGAUAGGAUAGUUUCGACAAGUAUUGAACGGCUAAGAUAACUUUAUUUAUUACAUGAAUGGCUAAGAUUAAAAACAAGGGCACGUAGACGAAUACAAACAUCUUCAAUGAGAGGAUCCACCAUUUCUACCAUUGGAAAUUUAAUUUCCUUACAGAAUAGGCGAAAAGUGAAGCGAAAACAAUCGGGAAAGCAAUGAGAACAAUCGCCACGAGGAAUAAACGAUCGUGAUGGAAGCCAUAGUAGUCUUGAAGGAAGGAAGCAACUGUUUUCUGCUCCCCAAAAAUCAAAAUCUCUUUGUUCAUGUCUCCAUAUUGUGAACUGAGGAGGGCAUUUAGGGACCAUGAUGUAGGACAAAUCCAAUAGAACCAAAUCCACCACUUGGGAAUUUUCUGCAUAAAAUAUAUAGAACAUGGUCCGCUAGGCUCACAGUAAACCGUCAUAUUAAGGGUUUAUUUGGCACUGCUUCUUUAGAAAGAACUUUUGCUUAUAAAUUAUAAGCGCUUUUUCUGUAAGUUGUUUAAUAGAGUUAUGUUGCAAAAAAAGCAGUUGGGAGGGCUUCGCAUACUAAAAGCUCUUAAAGUUUUACUACAUAGUCUUUUGGCUUUUCUAGAAGCAGUCUCAAACAGGGCUAAAGACUAAAGAGAGAGUUAGAUUUAGUUACCGGCCCGAGCACAAGGAAGCCGGAAAAAAGAUUCAAUAUGGUGUAGAUUGCCGUUGCGAAAAUGGAAGCUACUUGCAGGCUUGUGCUAAAAGAAGCUAUCAGCAUCCCAAGGUAUACAAAUUAGAGAAAUGUAGAGAAUGUUGCAUGGAAGUACCAGAAAACCUUAGUAGCUGACCAAUAGUACCCUAUUGUAGGGUAUGUAAUAAUGACAUACAGAAUUGCUUGAACCACUUUGUAAGUUAUUUCAAUGGCCACCUACAACAACAUUCAAAAUUUCGACAUGUUAAAAACCUUUCCACUACAAGCUACGUUAUAGUACCAGUUAAAAUGUACGAACCUGUGCAAACGAAUGAGCGUUUGAUGAGUACAUCCCAGCAAAUCUUUCCCGGUACAGAACUGCGCGCUCAGUAGCCACGUAAGGCAGAACCGUCGAGCAAUUGGUUGUGCCCAAAAAUAUUACAGCAAUGUACAGUAACCCAAGCACGUUGAACAAAUCAUGCUCAUUGUUUCUUGAGGAACAAGAAAAACACAGGAUUUAGCGUUGUUGAGCAAAAAUUGUACAUAAUAUGUAAACAAAUAAUUCUCUCGACAUAAUUUCACCCUCGUUCAUUUUUCGAAGAGGGUUUUAUUAGUUUGAGUUUGAUUCAUUCUAGGUUACGCGCCUAUUAAUUACAACCUUUCUUUUGGGAAAGGAAUACCCUUUGAUUCUAAUAUGAAUAAAUCGUAAUUUGAGGAUUUGGGUGUUUAUUUGAUUUUGUGACUGUAUCUAGGUAGAGCCCUAGAUUGCCUACGUACCCUCGUUGAGGGAUCAAAUCACUCGUAGUUCCUUAUGUGUUUUGUUGGGGUUUGACGCCUUGUGCAGUUUCAGCUCAUGCAGAUGAGGAUUUUAAGCCGUUGGAGCUUUAAUAAAUUUGAUAUGGUUUUAUGCCAUUCUGAAAUUUGAUACGGCUUCGUGCCAGUUAACAUAGCUUCGUGCCACUUGAGAUUUUGUUGCGGCUUCAUGCCAUUUGAUAUUUGACUUUUUCUUCGGCUUUACGGCUUCGUGCCAUUGAAUUGGCUUUGAGCCAUUUGAGGCAGCUUUGUCCCAUUUAAAGUGGUUUUAUGCCGCUUAAACGUUGAGUAAAAUUAACAGGUUUAUUUCUGAUAAACCCACUAAUAUUUUGGCAUUUGACUCUGGCUUGGUACCAUUUCUUACUCCAUGUUUAAUUUUACUUUUCCUUUUUCGUUUGCCCUUUCUUCUGACAAAUUUGUAGAGAAUCAUGCUUGGAAUAAAAAAAAAAUUUCCUCUGUUCCUUCAUGGGAUUUACUCCACAAGGGUUUUGUUCAAAGCAGCAGAAGUGAAUUUAGUUUAUACAAACCAGGGAUUCAUCUUGAUUUCUUGGUUGCGUCUAAAAUUUGAUAUCAGACUGCCUACGUAUCCUUAACGGAAUCAAACCGGCGUAGUUCGUAACUUUUGAGACUCAUCGCGGCUUUGUGCCAUUUGAUACUUGAUAUGGAUUCGUGCCAUUUGAAGUUUGACGGAGCCUUGUGGCAUUUGUGUCUUGUAAAUAUUUGUGAUGAACCCACUUUUACAUUGGUAUUUGACUUUGUCUUCCUUUUCAUUUAUUUUGUCUUGGAACCCAUUUUAUUUUGCCUACAAGCCCGUCACUCUAUUGUUGCCCUUUAUUUUUUUGCAUGGUAGCACAAAAAAAAUCCUUGCUUUCAUAUGGAAAAUAUAAAAGCAAGAGUCAAAGCUCCUUUAUUUUUACCAAUGCCUUUUUCAAGCUUUUAAGUCCCUUGCUUUUCUUCUUUCUUUAUUUUUCUUUUGUCAUUGCCGUAUGUCUCCCUAAGAACAACUCCACUUUUGGAGCCCUUUCUCCAUGCAAUCCACUAUUCAAUCCACCAUGUAAACAGUAAUUACCCUUAAUAAACAGUAACUACUUUUGUAUCUCAACCCUUGCACUUGAAUACCCUUGGCAAUAGGCAAUAAAAUAUUAAUUUUUAUAAUUAAUAUUAUAUUAUUUAAUUUGUACAAAUUAAUAUUAUAUUAUUAAUUUAUCUUUUCCAAUCUCUUCCCGAAACUUCUACCAUUUUUGUUUUCUUCUUCCUUCCCACUCUCUCACUCCCCUCUCCCUCAUUGUCUUCUUUUUUUUCUCCGGCCGACAGUCUACCUCCCCUCUCUCUUUUUCUCCCCCAUUUCUCCCUGUUUUCUUCCUCAAACGAGGAAGCUGCGAAUUUUGAGAGAGAGCAGCACCGAACCCACCCGCCUCCCGCCAUGUCUAAAUCCACUGAUGUGUCUUUCUUCCUCCUCAUGGUCCUCUGCGGCCAGGCCCAAAGAGGCCGCCUGCUUCUUUCCGACUUCAACCAAUCAACGUCAUCCGAUCUGAUCUCCGAUAGAGUCCACCACCACCACCGGUCCCACACCCUGGCUCCCUACCUCACUCUCGAGAACGCCCUUUCGGCGGAAGACUCCACCUGCAAGCAGACCUACGUUUUCCUGCCUUGCACCACCACUGUGAUCGACAACCUUUCCUAAUUCCUGACAGAAAAAAAUUAAAAAAAAGGACUGACGCCAGCCUGACGUCAGCCCCUACUCGGGCUGGCAAUUCCUCAUAGACCCUUUGCUCGGGCCUUGGCUGCUGCUUGGGCUUGCUCACGCUGGAGCUGGUCGACAGGGCCUUGGGCUCUUUCUUCUCCCCCCGUCCCUCGAGCAGGAGCUUCCGCUAAAGCUGCUCUAAUGGUUCGAAGAUGAUGGAAUCCAAUUUGAAAUGGCACAAGUUAAAUUUCCAUAAAGAACUCCCAUAACUUUAUUGACCCCUACGUGAGCAACUUUCCAUGUGAGGUGCUGAUUUCAGUUAGCAUUCUUCUUUGAUCUUUUCAAACCCAUUUAAACAUGGGACUUCGAACCUAUCUGACCUAAACUUCUGACCAAUCUGAGAGCAAGCCUUACUCUUUUCUUUGUUUGACUUCAAAGGUCUCCAAAUUCCAAUAAGACUUUAUCCCAUACUUUAAAUGGGGGAACCAUGACUUUCUUUUGUCUUCCACGACUUUCUUUUGUCCUCCACGUGAGUGGUUUUCUUGCUAUGAAGUAAAAGAAGACCACAUCAACAUUUUUUUAACUUUACUUUUGAUUUGACAAAAGCUUUUUGGUCUGGAACUCUUCUUCUCUCCUUAUGAGUUUUAAACAUUUUUUUUUCUUUGUCUUCAACCUUGAAUUUAGCUUUGCCCAACAUUUGACAAUAACUUACUUCAUCUUUGAGGUGCCACGUAUUUAGCCUUUUUUAAAAAAAACAAGCACUUUCUUUUGAGUUUUCUGUUUCCUGCAUGGAUUUGUCUUCACAGGGGUAAAACUAGUCUUCGACUAAAAUCACGAAUCAUCUUUUGCUUGUUGGAGAUUUUUUCUUCAAUUCCUAAUUUAAACAGGAAUUUGAAUGAAACUUGGUCAGUGGCAACUAGCGCCUAUUCUUCUUUGGCUGGGCUUUCUUUGGGUUUCUGUCUCAAUGAAGAACGCCAAAAGUUUUUGAAGAAGACCAUGGCCCGUCGACCGACAGAAGCUUCGGGACCAUAGCUGGGCAUGUUGGGUUCUUGUUCUCCACUUGUUCAAAUGUGCAGAGUGACGGCUUAUUCUCCGUUGCAUCUCUGAAAAGAGGAAGGGAGAUGUCGAAAACUUCUUUAGACACCCAAGAGGCUACAGGAGGUUGUGGGAAGACGAUUUGCUGCUGUGUUUUGAUGAAAUCUCCGUUGGACAUCACAAGUUGCAGGGUGUCGAUGAUGUUGAAGACAUGGCGCAGCUGCUGUCUCUGUUUGGGCUUCCGUCUAACGUCGGCGGUUUAUUGCAAUGUUGCCUUCAUUAGCUAUUUCACACCGCUGCCAUCUUCUUGCUCAAACCUUCGUCAAAUUUGUUGAUGGUCUGGACUGGCGUGCCCAACUACGUCACCUGGUUUCAUCACCUUCGGAUCACGAACUGCACUGCCCUUGGGCUUCUUCCGGAGGACUGACAGAGACGACGGUUGAAAAAUGGUGGUGUUGCCGUAGUGCAGUGAUCACCUAGACCUGGUUGGAACUUCACGGGGUGGUUUAGACCACCCCGAAGAAAUUCAUGGGACUGGGGAUGGGAGAGAAACAAAUUGUUUUUUUUUCUUCUUGCAAAGCCGAGAGAAAGCAUACAAAGAAAGAUUUAGAAGGAUAGAUUUAUACCUUUAAAUGCUUUGUAGCAUUUCCUGCUCUUUGUUCUUGCGGGUAGCACUUGAUAUCUUCUUCUUUUUUCUUCUUUUGUUUCUCUUUUGCCUUUGCUCUCUUGCUUUGCCUCUCAUUCUCUGUUGUCUUCAUUGCGCUUUUCUGUCUCUCAAUUUUUGCAGAGUACCCUUGUCUUUUUUUUUUUUUUUUCUCUUGCUGUAGUUGAUGCCUAUUUAUAGGCAUCCCAAGUAAAGGAUGAUACAUUCCUGAUCUCUUGGGAUUGUUUCCUGUUUCAUCAUGAUUUCCAGAUUUCCCUGUUUUAUUAAAACAUUCCCCUUAUGUAUUCUUUGUAGAUUAAUUAUACUUGUAAAUCAAGUCAUUGUACACUAUUUAAAUCAAUGAUAAUGCACCCUCUAGGGCAUCGAGGGAUUGAGCCAAAAUACCUUCUUUUGAGUUAUCUUUUAUGGUACUCAGAGCCAGUGACUAACGUCUUUUUUUUCUUUUCGGAUUCUUCCUACUCUUCUCCAUGGCUGCCUCAACCAGUUCGACUACUCCUUCCUCCGACAUCUUCCCUUCUGUUUCUCAUGCGAUCUCCAUCAAACUUGACUCUUCCAAUUAUCCUCUUUGGUUGGCUCAGUUGCUACCUGUUCUUCGCAGUCGUCAAUUGUUGGCUUUUGUUGAUGGUACUUCCAUCUGCCCCUCGGCGUUCUUGUCCGACGAUACCGGCAACGCCUCUUCCAAACCCAACCUCGCGUAUGCUGACUGGGUUCAGAAGGACCAGCUUGUUCUUUCUUGGAUCAAUGGCUCUCUUGGUCACCAGGCCCUCGCCGCCACUGCUCGUCAUUCCACUGCCCGUGAUGUUUGGGUUGCUCUUCAGCAGCGUUUUGCUUCUACAAACCAAAGUCGCAUUCUUCAGCUUCGUACUGCUUUCUUCCAGACCAAACGAGGUGAUUCUUCAAUUUCUGACUUUCUUGAUAAGAUCAAUGGUAUUGCCGAUCAAUUGGCCCUUGCCGGGGCACCUGUUUCUGCUGAUGACAUGGUGCCGGUCGUCAUGUCUAAUGUCGGCCCCAAAUUUGAGAACACUGUUGCUGCUGCUCAGGCCCGUGACAACCCCAUCUCCCUUUCUGAUCUUGAGGCUCUUCUUCUCGUUGCUGAACUCCGCCUUGCUGAUCCUCCUGCUCCGCCGGACUCCAGCGUCUCGGCCCUGGUAGCCUCCCGCGGCUCUUCUGCCUUUCAUGGCCGCUCCUCUUCUGAUCGCGGCGGCGAUCGUGGCUCUGGCCGUUUCUCACGUGGGGGUGGUCGUCCUCAACAUGAUGGGUCUCGCAACAAUGGUGGUGACGGCUAUCGUGGCUAUCGCGGUGCUGGUGGUUUCCAUGAUCGUCCGUUUCGCGAUCGUGGUGGUGGUCGUCCUCAGCACGAUGGCUCUCGCUUCCGUGGCUCCAACAAUGCUUCUGGGGUUCUUGGUCCAGCCCCAUAUCACGGUUCCUCCCGUCCUCGCUGCCAUAUUUGCAAUACUUUUGGUCAUGGUGCUCUUGACUGUGCUCAACGUCUUAAUUUGGCUUAUGAAGGUCGUCCUCCUUCUUCCCGUCUCACUGCCUUGACUGCUCAGCACUCCCAGCCUUGGCUCAUUGAUUCCGGGGCAAACUCGCAUAUCACCAAUGAUCUCAAUACUUUGUCUCAGUCCCGUGAUUAUCGUGGUGGUGAUUCCGUCGGUGGUGUCGUUGGCGGUACAGGUUUGCCCAUUAACCGUAUUGGCUCCUCCACUCUCUCUCAUAAUAAUAUUUCUUUCAAGCUUAAUGAUGUUCUUCAUUGUCCGGAUGCUUCUACUUCUGUGUUGUCUGCUAAUCGGUUUAUGUUGGAUAAUAAUUGUUAUAUUACAUUGUUUCCUUCUUGUUUCUAUAUUCAGGAUAUGGAGACGGGGACGAUUCUUUUUUCGGGCAAGAGUAGCAAUGGCUUUUAUCCCUUUUCCUCUUCAUCACCGACUGCUCAUGGUCGUGCUGCUUUUCUUGGUGUUCGUGUUGGUAGUGAUGUCUGGCACUCUCGUUUAGGCCAUCCAUCUUCUUCCAUUUUAAAAUUUCUUUUUUCUAGGCAUUCGAAUAAGUUGCCUGUUUCUGGCAACCUCAAUCUCAAUACUUUUAUGUGUCAUUCUUGUCCUUUAGGCAAAAGUGUUAAGUUACCUUUUUCUGCAUCAUUGUUUGUUACUCAAGCUCCUCUUGAGCUUAUUCACUCCGACGUGUGGAGUGCGUCCAAUAAAUCUGUUAGUGGUUUCCAAUAUUAUGUUCUUUUUGUUGAUAAUUUCUCUCGUUAUUCUUGGAUUUAUCCCAUGAAAUUGAAAUCUGAAGUCUUUAAUAUUUUUACUCACUUUAAGACCUUGGUUGAAAAUCAAUUCUCCACUAAAAUUAAGAUGUUUCAGUCCGAUGGUGGGGGCGAAUACACUAGUCACCAAUUCAAGAAUUUUUUUCUUCACCAUGGUAUUCAUCAUCGUCUCUCAUGCCCUCACCAUCCCGAACAAAAUGGUUUGGCGGAACGCAAACAUCGUCACAUUGUCGACACUGGACUUACUUUAAUGGCCCAUGCGUCGAUGCCUCCUGCCUAUUGGGCUAAGGCCAUGCACACAGCAGUUUAUCUUCUCAAUCGCCUCCCCUCUAAAGUACUUGGUUUUAUGUCUCCUUAUCAAAAGUUGUUUCUUAAGGAACCUGAUUAUAGUUUUUUAAAGACCUUUGGGUGUGCAUGUUUUCCCCACCUACGACCCUAUAAUAAUAAUAAACUCCAGUUUCGUUCUACUAAAUGUGUUUUUCUUGGUUACUCUCUCAAUCAUCAAGGUUCUCGGUGCUUAGACAUCUCUACUAACCGCAUCUUUUUAUCACGCCAUAUUGUGUUUGAUGAAGGUAAUUUUCCUUUCAAGGCCAUCUCUGGCUCUCUUGCCCCAUCCUCCCCGGCCUCGUCUCCUCCUCCUGUUUUAGAAAUCACUGGGCCUCUUCCGCAUGCCCCCCGACCGUCUAGCAGCCAACCGGUGGUUGUGUCCCCCUCUUUGGAGACUCAUCAAUCCAGUCCAUCAUCCGACCCACCACAGCCGGCCCUACAGGUUUACUCCCGUGACCCUCACAGGCGGGUUCUUUCUUUUGCACAAGCAGCAACCCCAUCUGUCACUCCCAGGCCCACGCCUGCUGUUGCCUCUGCAGUUCAACCUGAUGCGCCUCCCGAGGCUCCAUCUGCUGCUGUACCACCUGCCGUGCCCUCUACUUCCCAUGGUAUGCUCACUAGGUCCAAAACGGCUUCUCUUAAGCCUCAUAAAUAUGUUUUUUCUGCUGCCAUUUCUUCUUCUACCGGUCCUAUUGAGCCUACUUGUUUUAGUCAGGCCAACACUUUUCCCGAAUGGCGUACUGCGAUGGCCGAUGAAUUUAAUGCACUUCAACGUGCUGGUACUUGGACUCUUGUUCCUCGUACCGCUUCUAUGAAUAUUUUGCCAAACAAAUGGGUGUUUCGUAUUAAACAGAAUUAUGAUGGGUCUAUUCAGCGGUAUAAGGCUCGUUUGGUAGCCAAUGGUUUUCAUCAGCAACCCGGCCUUGAUUAUGGUGAAACUUUUAGUCCUGUUGUCAAUCACUCUACUAUUCGCUUAAUUUUGGCUCUUUCAGUUCAGUUUCAAUGGCCUGUUCGUCAGUUGGAUGUUCAGAAUGCUUUUCUUCAUGGCUCUUUGUCUGAGGAGGUCUAUAUGCACCAACCUCGUGGCUUUGUUGAUCCACAGUUCCCUCAUCAUGUGUGCCGCCUUCGUCGUUCUUUAUAUGGGCUCAAGCAGGCGCCCCGUGCAUGGUUCCAAUGUUUUUCCACUCAUUUGGAAGAUUUGGGUUUUCGUCCCUCUACUGCGGAUCACUCGCUUUUUACCUAUAUUCAUGGCUCUACUCGCAUUUAUCUCUUAAUUUAUGUUGAUGAUAUUUUGGUCACCGGGAAUAAUCCCUCAUAUUGUCACCCUCAUUAAGAAUUUGGGCAUCCGUUUCUCUAUGAAGGACCUUGGACCGGUUCAUUAUUUCUUAGGCAUGGAGGUGGUCCGCACUCCAUCAGGUCUCUCUCUUUCCUAACAAAAGUAUGCCACUGACCUACUUCACCGCACCAAAAUGCAUGGUGCUAAGCCGGUUCCUACUCCUGCCGUUAGUGGGCGACGGCUCAGUCUUCAGGAUGGUGACCCUCUGCCGGAUCCUAUUGAAUACCGAAGUGUUGUCGGCGCCCUUCAAUACUUGACUCUCACUCGUCCCGACAUCAACUUCGCCGUCAACCAAGUCUGCCAAUUUCUUCACCAGCCGACUUCUACUCAUUGGGCCGCCGUCAAACGCAUUCUUCGUUACCUUGUCGGCACUACUUCUCACGGUCUUACCUACAAGCCUGGUUCCUUUCGUCUUACAGCAUUUUCCGAUGCCGAUUAUGCCGGGAUCCUGAUGAUCGGCGUUCCACCGGGGGCUAUUGCUUGUAUCUGGGUUCCAAUCUUGUCUCAUGGAGUGCCAAGAAACAAAAUGGGGUCUCUCGGUCCAGCACUGAAGCCGAGUAUCGUCAACUUGCAAUCACCGCUGCCACUCUUUCAUGGUUUCGUAUGCUGUUCCGUGACCUCCAGUUUCCUCUACAUUGUCCUACACUGUUUUGUGACAAUAUCAGUGCUAUAUCCCUUGCUUCCAACCCGGUGUUUCAUGCCCGCACUCGGCAUGUUGAGGUGGAUUACCAUUAUGUUCGUGAAAAGGUUGUUCGCAAGGAGAUUGAUGUUCGUUAUCUUUCUACUCAUGAUCAGAUUGCUGACUUCUUCACCAAGGGCCUUUCUCUUCCUCGUUUUCGACUUCUGGUUUCCAAGCUUCCUGUACUUGAUUGUACUGUCAGCUUGCGGGGGCGUAAAGGAUGAUACAUUCCUGAUCUCUUGGGAUUGUUUCCUGUUUCAUCAUGAUUUCCAGAUUUCCCUGUUUUAUUAAAACAUUCCCUUUAUGUAUUCUUUGUAGAUUAAUUAUACUUGUAAAUCAAGUCAUUGUACACUAUUUAAAUCAAUGAUAAUGCACCCUCUAGGGCAUCGAGGGAUUGAGCCAAAAUACCUUCUUUUGAGUUAUCUUUUCCCAAGAAGGCUCUAGAAUUUGUUACGUGGGGGAAGAUGGAGACCAUGACCUCCUGCCACUUUCUGUUAACCCCCUUUUCUGACUCCACGUUUCUUUUUGUUGCAGAAAAUGGGGGAGCACCUGUUUUUUGCACGUUACUUCCCCCCUUAUGUAGGAAAAAAAUUAUAAAUUUUUUAUUUAUUCCUGAAUGUAUUUGUAUGUAAAGCUCAUCCUCAUCUUUUGGGUUGGAUUACAUUUUUGUUUUACCUUGAAGUUUGACUCAAUUUGAAUGGACUUUAUUUUUUCAUAUUUUUUUUGUUCAACAAGCGUAGUUUUCUUUUUCUUUUUCUCUGUGAAAUAUAUAGUAUGAAGAGGGUGGAAAUGGGUCGGGGCUUACAUUUCCUUCACUUUCUGCCAAAAGAUUGUUCCGAACCACACUGAUAGAGCGAAAAUAAACGCGAAACGUGCUAGAUUGUACUUUGGACUUCUCCAGUGGGACAAGUGUUGUUUCCACAGACAUGCCUUAAACUGCACCCAGCUAUUUUGAGCAAAAGGAGUGGGAAGGUUCAAGCCCCUUGAACCCGGCUUUGGUUCGCUCAACCGGCUAACCAACUCGACCGUGUCUCUCUGAAAAAGAAGGAAACAAACAUAUAAAUUUGAUGAUUGAAAUAAAUACAUGAUUAAUCCUAAAAUAAUGGAAAUAUUAGAGAUAUGCCCUUACCUAUACUGAGUAGAGGGUUUAUAAAUUUCAGCAAAAUCUAAACAAAGUUUUGCCUCUACUGAGGCAGAAGUAACUUCUAACAUCCAAGUUGCUGGAUUGUAAUUUUCUUUGAUCUUUGGUACAUCACGAAUAUCCUCAAAAUAUUUGACGAGUUUACUCGAGUGAUGACCGAGAACUCCAGAAUAGAUGAUUUGGCCUCCCCUUUUCAUCAAAAGUAACUGCAAAAAUCAAUGUCUUCCGUUAGUGAUCGAGUGGCUUUUAUGAUUUGGUUUAGUUUUCUUGGACUCCAUGACAAUGCUCGUUAUACUACCUCGUCAAAUGACUGAAAAAUAUCAAUGCUUGGCUUGUGGAUUGUGCAAACAGUUGUCCUUCCUGUGGAAACAACAUUCUUUACUACGCAAAUGGCAAUUGCAGCUGCUCUGGCGUCUAAGCCUGACGUAGGUUCAUCCAUAAAUAUUAUUGAUGGGUUGGAUACAAGCUCCACUGCAAUUGUUAGCCUUUUGCGCUGUUCAGUAGAUAGGCCAGUUUGUCCAGGAAUGCCAACUAAGGAAUCUCUUAUAUCCUCCAGUUCAAUCGUUUGAAUGACUUCCUCCACAAAUUUCUGCAUAGAUUAAGCAAAGGAUACUUUCUUUUAUAUGUUCCAGGAAAUUUGCAUAUUAUUGAUAAAUUGAAAGAAUAUCAUCCUACAGCUUUUAUGUCUGGAUCAGUUUCGUGUGGCAACCUCAACCAAGCUGAGAACAUAAGCGAUUCUUCUACCGUGAUCUGUGGAGAAUGUAUAUCAGUCUGCUCGCAGUAUCCUGAUAUUCUUGCAAAUGUCUUCUGGACCUUGGGGUACCCUCCGAUUCUUAUAUCUCCCACGAUACUACCUCCUGUUUCCCUUCCAGAAAGAACAUCCAUGAGAGUUGUUUUUCCAGCCCCAUGCGGUAGGAAUUCCUGGACUGAAUGCUCCUGUUAUAUCUUUAAGCAACUGAAGCUUUUUCUCCUUGAAAGCAUGCUGUCUCAUUUCCUUUUUUAAGAAGGAAUGAAGUUAAAAUACAACUAAAUAGUUUUCCAAUGAUACUAAUAUGUGAAAAUUGACUAAUGAUUUGAUUAAUUACCGGAGGUGUAUCAACAUAAUACUGCACGUCCUUAAAUGAGAUUGUCAGUGGCUCGAACGGCAGGACCAUUCUCCCUGUUUAACAAAUUGAUUUACUCUCGAAUAAUUCAGUUGUUAAAAAAAUUCCUUGCUCGUUGCUUUGAAUGGAAAAUGUGAAACUGAUAACCCGGAUAAACUGGAUGCAACAAUUCAUCUCACCUAGUGUUAUCUUUUCUCCCAUGGUUUUGAAUAAAUCGGAUAGAGUUGAUUCAUUUUCCAACGGUGCACCAGUUUGGGUUAAUAUUUAACAUUGGGCUUAUAGGAGAGAAAGCCCAAAAGAGUUCAAUAAGAAGAGUUUCGUCCGAAGCCCAGCACCAAGCCCAGACCGUCCAUCUCAAGACCAAUUGGCACUCUCCUAUUAAUGCAAAGGCUAAGUGCUUACAAGAGAAGUGACAACUGAUGAAAAUCAACCUACUCUCAGCCCAAAAGUACUUUUCAGUGGCAAUACAAGUAAAAUAUUGAUGAGUCACUACCAUUCAAUUGCUUUUGGGUAAGAACAAAGCUACAAGCGGUCGGACUAAUUCGUUUAUAAAAGGAGGAAGAGGGCUCAGAGACAAGGACACUCAAUCAAUCAAACAUACAACUUGUCUCUCAUCCAAGCAAAUACCCAGAAAGCUGUGCUUUGUCCAGACUCUGCACCCUUUUAGCCUUAGAUUUCCUUAGAAAGACAUCUUUUUUCUAUGUAAAAGCUCUGCUACAUUUUUCUAAAUGUUGUAGUAUCGAUCCCUCGUGUAUAAACUCGUUUCCAGUCAUCUCCUUUAGUACUCAAUUCUUUUGUAAACUGCAAAGAGAAGAGAUCGCAAGGCGUUUAACCUUGCUUGACAAAGUGAAAUCUUGCCCAACUCUCUUUGUUUUUAUCUUUCAAUUAACAAAUAUGGUGUUAUAAUGUAUUCCGUAGUUUAUAUUCAAGUUAUUUCCAGUCCUUUGAUGACCCAAAGCCCCAUCAGUUCUCAGAUCUGGUUCACUUAGUGGUUUUAUCAAGAAUUGAAAUGAAUUAAACUGAUGACUUGAUCAGAUCUAAGCCUUCACCCCUCAAGCAUACAAAAUAACUAAAAGUCUUUGAUCUCAAGGCAUAGAAAAUAACUUAAUGUAGACUUAAUCCAUCUACAACAAUCCUUUGAUAAACAAGAAGUCAGAAAUAACUUGGGGUGCAAGUAAUCGGCUUAAAACACACUUGUUCUACAUCUGCCAUACAGAGAUGGCAGUGGCACGCCUAAGCACCUAGUUAGUUUUGAAUGCGAGCCUCAAGGCCUAUACCUAAGGCCCCACAAAGGCACCUUUCAGAACUAACUUUGUUUUCCUCUUGCAGUAUUGUGACAAGCAGGAGCCCAACAAUCAACCAAAGUGCCAACUCCUCGGGCAGCUGUGUGCUCGAGCCAGGAACGCCCACCAACCAGAUUUCCUGCCCAAAAAGCACCAGUUUUGCGAGCUCCCCUUCUUCAAAGUUGAGAUAAUCUUUUUUUCGAAACAAUAGCCCGAUACACCUUUGGAGCUGUAUGAGGAAAAGCUUAAGUAAACUGAUGUGGAGCUGUAUGAGGAAAAGCUUAAGUAAACUGAUGAAGUGGAUUGUAAUACUUAAGUUAUCAUCUGUCAAUUAAAAUGAAUCUAAGUAAGUUAAUGCUAAAAUAAAUCCAAGAUCAGACAGCAUUGUGAACCCGAGUAAUGCUCCUACUGAUAUCCAAUAGAAAUAGCCAUCAAAGUUCAAACCAUGCCUGGUUAGAACUUUAUUCCCUAGGGUUGUGUUUCCCUCUGAGACCUAAAGAAAUGAAUUAACACUGUCAAAACACUUAUUCGACUUCGAUGAUCGGGUACUAAAAAAGUUUAUCAUCUUGAGUUGUACCUUUUGCCAGCGAGGAGCGAGGAACUCGUUUAGAGUUGUACCGAUUUCCCCAUAAGUCAUAGGUGAACACCAGAAUAGUCAACGCAACCAAGGAGGUAAAGAGGCUGCAAAACACCCCUUAUUAGUCUAGUUGUAGUUGAAUGUAACUAAAGGAAAAAUACGAUAAAUGGACUUACAUCGUGGCAAGAUGAAGCCUCCGGAUAAAAACAUUAGCACUAGGAUUAAAAUACCGCAAGUUGAUGCAACAACCAUAGUUUGGAAAACUACAGCAAUUAAACGACAUAUGGAUGUCGAUGCUUGAUGGAGAGCAAAUAGCACAAGGAACUGGAAGAAGAACCUAAAAACCAUAGCAUAUUCUUGAGGCAUUAUUAUGAUUAUUGUUCAAGCCUUUCAUGUUCUGUCGUGUGACUAUAAAGUUGAGAUCUUACGUUUUUAUGUCUGGAGCGUACCCAAUCAAAUGGUAAGUUAUUGCUGUCCACAGCAGUGAAUCAAUCACUGAAAAUGGAACCUUCAGGAUAGACUGGAAGAGAAUACGCCCAUGCUGGAUACAGAUUGAAUCCUCUUUGCUUGUAAACCACUGGUAAUCUAGUAACAGUCACAGCUCUGCAAUUCCGUUGGUCAUAAGUCGAAUAAGUGUAUAAAACAAUGAGUUCAUAAAAAAACUUGCAUUUAUCAAAUCCACGGUCCUACGGGUGCUUAUACAGAUUGCCAUUGUAAUAAAUGCAGUGAUGACAAGCUGUGGGAAAAAAAGAGAGAAAAUAUAGUAAGUGAUUUUGAGUUUAACUUCAGAAGUACAACCCCUAAAAGUGAUAUCAUUAGGCAGUAAACCUGAGCUGUUUUGAAUACGUAGAGAAAGGAAUUCCGUUUCAUGAGAAGAAGCUCUCGGGCCAUACAACCUUUGAACAACUCCCAUUUGCUCACAGAGUAAGUACUAAAUGAUAAGGCAUUAUCAUGGCACUGUGAUUUAUUGUAUGGUUUUGAGAGCUCAUCGUCUAAUUUCUUCCCCGAGUAACUUGCUCUGAAAAGUUCAAAAAAUUUGUUUGCAGAAACAUGACCGUAGGGAAUGUUAUCAUGCUUCCAGUAUUGUGCUUGAUCCUUCUUUGAGAUCACCUCUUGAAGGAAAUCUGCAGCACCCUUUCUUGGUGGGCACUUGAAACCAGAGUCUUCGAAAAACUCAACUGCGUGGCUGCGAUGACCGUGGUAAACUAUCUUCCCCUCUGCCAUUAGUAUUACAUCAUAAAAAAUAUCAAUGGUCUCGGGUGCUGGUUGGAGAAGUGAUACCAAUGCAGUUGUAUCUGUGAUAUGCACCAGCUGCUGAAGAUAGGUAACUAUCUGAAAGGUUGUAGAACUGUCUAAUCCCGUUGAUAUCUCAUCCAUAAAAAGAGCUUUUGUAGGACCUACAAUCAUUUCUCCUGAAGAUUAAACAGAAGAGGAAUGUUAUGUUUGAAACAUUUUUCUACAUGGGAAUUAGUAAUUACAUUCAAAUUUCCCUCGGAUUCAAGAUUUCACUACCGGUUGUCAGCCUUUUCUUCUGGCCACCAGAAAUGCCUCUUCUUAAUGCAUCACCAACCAUUGUGUCACUCACUACACAUACCCAGUCCAAGUAUCUAAAGAGAUUCCAAAAUAUCGUAAUUCAUUUUUCCUGUCCGAGUGAGUUAGAAAUGUCACGUUUGAACUACUUAAUGUCAGCAUUGUCCAUGUCCAACACUGGUUGGAGAAAAAUUUACCUUCAAAACAUAAUCGGUUUGGAGAUUUUCCCUUUGUCCUUCAACUGAAAUGGCCUGUGAGUAUUAUGUAAAUCUCUAAAACCUCUAACACAAAAGGGUGGUAAGAUUUACUAAAAGGAAUGUUAUGAGACUUUACAAUUACCUUCAUGUAGGUGUCAAUAUCUGGAUCGGGGACUAUUCCUGCUUCUUUUUCCCUUCUGCUGAGCUCCAUUAUUAUAUAUGCAUAAAAUACGAUCGAAAUUAAACUUCAUACGUCAAUAGAAGUACACGACUAACCCAAUAGUAAAUGCAAUAGGGGAUAAGGAAUAUGCACCAGCUCUACUGCCAACACCCUGGCAGCGGGAGGAAAAGUCAAUUGUUUCCCUCAGUCAUCUCAGGCAGGUGAAGGUCAUGCUGGCUAAUGUAAGCUGAUGUUUUUUGGGGAACAAACUCAUCUAGCUUGUAACCAUUAUAAGUGUUGUAAACUGAAAUAGAAAGGAACGAAGUUACCUAAAAAAAUGUAGAAGCCUUGAGUGGUGAAUGAUUAUUGGGAUGAGUUGCGGACUAAGUCGCUUUCUUUAAGACGUUUCGCGGCUCUACCCAAAGUGUGCAAGCAGUUCACAAACACCACAUCGUCCUAGGAUAAAACAGCCCAAAACCUUCUUCUUCUUCUUCUGAUAAAGUUCUUCCUUGUACAGUAGAAGAACCUUCGAAUUCACAUUCUCUCAAUAUGUUGCUAACCAAAACUAUAUAUUAGAAAAUAUAUCUUCUUUUUUUUCCGCAUACUUUCAAUGAUCCAGGGACUACUAUAUAUACAUUUAGACGAAAGAGAUGUUGAGGGUUUGAGAAAAUUGAAAGCAGGACAAAAUCAAAACGUAAGUCAAAUAAAACGGUUUGAUUAUGUAUCAUGACAUGAUCUUCUUCUCUAUACAAAGAAGGAAUGGCACGUUUCAAACUUAAAAGGAGAUAACUCCUUACCUAAUUGAAAAGUCAAAAUCAAUUGGCAGUUAUGCAUAGAAUAUUGGUAAUAAAACAAAACGUUAUGUAUAUAAUAUUGGUAAUAAAAUAAAACAUAAAUAUAUUUAAAUAUUUAAAUAAAAACAUAUUUACUCAACAAUCCCCCACUUGUUUUUGUUUAAAACUAUACAUCAAGCAAUAUAUCGUAAAGCUAUACAGAAGUAAAUGUGUUUCUCAACUUAAAUCUAUACAUAGUGUUAGUGAUCGAGAUUAUACUAGAGUAACUUAUAGUUUUGAACUCUAUCCCUAACAACACCACACACACAACUUUAUUAAGGUGAAGUUCAAAAAGCCAGCACAUUACAACCAUGUGCUUGUAUCCCAGUAUAGUGAACGCUCUAGAAACUUGCUCAAGAUUUCAUAGGAAGCGGCAUCACUUCCACAUUCACAUAGUUAAGACUAUCAAGGUAUUCCUGUAGCUAGAUAUCUCACUUAACAUAGAGUAUAGACCUUACUAAGAGAAAAAAAAAUCUCAACCUAAAUACGCUUCAGGAUGUCAUGCUUCUUAGGGAUGGACAUGGAAUAAUAUUCCAAACUAAAAUUAGCAAGACUUCACUCUUAUCACUUGUGACUUGUUAUUACCCUUUGAACCUAUUUCUUGGGAUCUCUAGUCUAUAGGUUGGGUUGCUAUCACAAAUAACUCAAUUCUCUAGGGCUUUAGUCCCAUCCCUUUCGAGGUUUUCCAAACCUUUUCUCGUGCUAGUCCUUUUGUCAAAGGAUCAACCAAGUUUUCUUCAUACCGUAUAUGAUCCACUCUCACAGCUCCAUUAGACAGGUAAUCUCUUACAGUGAUGUGCUUACGACGUAUUUGUCGCCCUUUCCCAUUAUAAUAAUGAUUUUGCACUUUAGCUAUUGCCGAUGUGCUAUCACAAUGGAUCAAAACUGCUGGAAUCGGUUUCUCCCAUAAAGAGGUAUCUGACAGUAGGUUUCUCAACCAUCCUGCUUCUUCGCUUGUCGUAGCUAGCGCUAUUAAUUCUGACUCCAUAGUGGACUGAGCCAUGAUAGUAUGUUUCUUAGACUUCCAUGAUACAACCCCACCACCAAGACUAAAAAUACAUCCACUAGUGGCUUUAGAGUCAUCUGAAAGGGUAUUCCAAUCAGCGGCACUGCAACCUUCUAGGACAGCGGGAAACUUCUCAUAGUGUAAUCUAAAAUUCAUUGUCCUUUUAAGGUAUCUCAUAAGCCUAUCUAUGGCAUGCCAAUGCUCCAAACUAGGUCUACUAGUAAACCUGCAUCAAACUCCUACGACAUAAGAUAUAUCAGGCCUAGUGCAAUCAGUAGCAUAACGAAUGCUACCAAUAAUACUCGCAUACUCAGAUUGUUUAACACUGUCACCAAUGUUCUUGAACAAUUUUACACUAGGAUCAUGAGGAGUACAUGCUGGUUUACAAUCAAAAUAAUUAUACUUUCUUAAAAUUGUUUCUAUGUAGUGAGAUUGAUCUAAAGAAAACCCAUGUUCAAACCUAGUUAUUUUCAAACCAAGUAUUACGCUAACUUCACCCAAGUCUUUCAUAUCAAAAUUAGCAGAUAACAAAGAUUUGACAUUAUUCACAACAUGAAUAUUCGAACCAAAAAUAAGCAAAUCAUCCACAUAUAGGCAUAUAUUACUUUCAGACUUAUAAUAGAUGCAUUUGUCACUUUCAUUUAUUUUAAAACCAUUUGAAGUAACCAAACUAUCAAAUUUUGCAUGCCAUUGUGUGGGAGCCUGUUUCAAUCCAUAAAGUGACUUAUUUAACUUGCAAACUUUAUUUUCUUUUCUUGGAAUAAUAAAACCUGUGGUUGACCCAUAUAUAUUUCUUCCUCUAAUUUACCAUUUAAGAAAGCUGUUUAACAUCCAUUUGGUGCACAACAAGAUCAUGAAUAUAAGUUAAGGCAAACAAUACACGAAUAGAUGUUAUUCUAGUCACAGGUGAACAAAUAUAAAAGAAAUCAAUCUUUUCUCUUUGUCUAUAGCCUUUGGCAAUAAGUCGGGCUUUAAAAUUUUCAACUGAUCCAUCAGGUUUUAAAUUUUUUUUAAGAAUCUAUUUGCAACCUAUUGUUUUGCAACCAGGUGGAAGAUCCACCAAGUGCCAAGUUUGAUUUGACUCCAGGGAGUCCAUUUCAUCAUUUAUAACUUCUUGCCAAAAAAUUGCAUCUAAAGAAGUUAAAGCUUCUUGAAUUGUAUUAGGAUCUUCUUGUAAGUUAUAUACAUGGAAAUCAGGGCCAAAAUCUUUAGCUAUUCGAGCUCUUUUACUUUUCCUAGGUUCUAAUGCAGAUUGACUAUGUUUUACAACAUUAGGUUCAUAAAUUUUAGAAGAAUUAGAACCCCCACUAUUUUGAAGAUUAAAAGGAAAUUUAUUCUCAUAAAAAUCAGCAUCAAGUGACUCAAUUAUGACAUGGUUUUUCAAAUCAUAACAUCUAUAUGCUUUGCUAUUACAUGCAUAACCAAUAAAAACACAUUCAUAUGCUCUACUAGCCAAUUUCGAUCUUUUUGGACCAAGUUUACGAACAUAAGCUAAACAACCCCAAGUUUUGAAAUACAAUACAUUUGUUUUCUUAUUUUUCCAAAUUUCAUAAGGAGAGAUAUUCGAUUCUGAGGUAGGAAUUCUAUUUAAUACAUAACAUAUAGUCAACACAAUUUCACCCCACCAAUAAGAAGCAGCUCCAGAACUAAGUAGCAACACUCAAUUCGCAAAGAGUUCGAUUUUUUCUUUCCGCUUUACCAUUCAUUUCAGGAGAAUAAGGAGCAGUAGUUUCAUGAAUAAUUCCAUUAGACUUAAACAAAUUAACAAAUUCAAUGGAUUCAUAUUCUUGUCAUCUAUCACUACGAAAUCUUUUAAUCUUAUGAUUAAACUGAUUUUCAACUUCAGUAAAGAAAGUUUUGAACAUGUCAAUAGCUUUACUUUUAUUUUUCAUAAGAUAGACAAAACAGUAAUUCAAACAAUCAUCAAUAAAGGUAAUAAAAUAACGUUUUCCAUUUCUAGUUAACACUCUAUCAAAUUCGCAUAUAUCAGAAUGAAUUAAGUCAAGUGGUUCAGAUUCUCUAUUGACAGAUUUAUGUGAAGUUCUAGUGAUUUUAGCUUGACUACAAUAUUCACAUUUUUCAAAAUCAGUCAACGAUAAGUUAGGUAAAAAGCCUAAGUUACUCAUGUUCUUAACCAAGAGUUUGUUAACAUGACAAAGUCUAGCAUGCCAAGUAUUAAAAGAAGACAACAUGUAAUCAGAAGUAGACAUUUUAUCAACAUUCAAUUUAAACAUUCCAUUAGUAGCAUAUCCCUUUCCCACAAAAACCCCAUUUCUAGUAAGAGUAUACGUAUUUGCUCCAAACGUUUGAGUGAAUCCAGCCUUGUUGAGAAGUAAGCCUGAGACCAAAUUCUUCCUUAUUGUUGGAGCAUGCAUCACAUCUUUCAGUAUCAUGGGUUUUCCAGAGGUGAACUUUAACUCCACCUCUCCAGUACCAGCAACAUCAGUUGAGUGCGAAUCACCCAACAACACAUUUCUUCCCUCAGCCAUAGAAUAGGUCUUGAAAAGAGAACGAUCGUAGCAAGCAUGGGGAGAAGUGCCAGUGUCCACCCACCACCCACCACCCCUCGGACUAAGUUGAUUUCUGAUAUCAUUGCAAUUAGUUGCUCUUCAACAAGAUUUGUUUGAGAAGCAAAGUUUUCCUUAUAAUGCAUGGCAGAUUGAAUUCAUCUUAAAAUUGUUGUAAACUGAAAUAGAAAGGAACGAAAUUACUCAAAAAAAAUGUAGAAGCCUUGAGUGGUGAAUGAUUCUUGGGAUGAGUCAGGGACUAAGUCACUUUCUUUAAAACAUUUUGCGGCUUUGCCCAAAGUGUGCAAGCAGUUCACAAACACCACGUCGUCCCCAGGAUAUAACAUCCCAAAACCUUCUUCUUCUGAUGAAGUUCUUCCUUGCACAGUGGAAGAACCUUCGAACUCACACUCUCUCUCAAUAUGUUGCUAACCAAAACUAUAUAUCAGAAAAUAUAUCUAUUUUUGUUCCGCAUACUUUCACUACUAAAUAUACAUUUAGACGAAAAAGACGUUGAGAGUUUGAGAAAAUUGAAAGCAGGAAUAAAACGGUCUUAGGUCCGAUUCUCGCCGAAGGCGAAUUUGAACCACUAAACCGUAGCACUAAGUGGCUCCUAACAAUGUCUCUUAACAAGUUUAGAGGUAUUUGUCUUCACUAAUAAAUGAAAAGCGUUUGAAUUUCAUGAAUGACAAGUGCAAUACAAAAUUCAAAUUAUCAUGGUUCUUCCAUUAUAUGAUUUAACCAAAGCAUACCAUCUCUUAGUGUAAAUAUAUCAUUGAACUAUCAUUGAAGUAGUUCCAACAUUCGUAUACCAUCUUAAUUAUCAAUUUACUAUUACAAAAUUUCUAUUAAUUUUUCUUUACAAACUAAAGUGUUAUUAGGCUAAGUUGUUAAAUAUUAGGAGAUGAGUAGGGAUCGACCCACCGCCAAAGUACAUAUAUAGGUAUUACUGUUUUCUGCUACUAUGAUAAAGUGUAAUAUACUUCUAUAUAUUAAAAGAAAAUUCACUGAUACAUUUCCACAUGUAAACAUUCAACAUUGGACAUAUAUAAUAUUUUUCCCUACUUCUUUGGAAAUUUAAUUUUCCAAUGCAAUAGGCAAAUAGGGAAACAAAGACAAUCCCAACUGGGAAAGCAAUGAGAACAAGAGCCACAAGGCCUAAACAAUCAUGGUGGAAACCAUAAUAAUCUUGUAGGAUUAUUUUCUAUUUAAAAAACGUAUGUGAACAUACACAUUAUUUUCUAUUAUAAUAUGUGUAAGUUUAUGAAGGGAAAUAUUCACUAAAAUGAUCAAAAAUCAAAUUCUGAUGCCAAAACAAAAUCAAAUAUUGUCAUACUGAAAAACUAAUCAUUUCAACAAAUGAGAUUCAAAUAUUUGAUUAUUUUGGCCAAUUUUCCUGUAUUGAUACCCUAACCUAAAGUAUAAAUUACUUGCACAUCCAAAUUAUAACACAUGAAUUAACAACACUCCGUCAAUUAGACUUGUGUUACAUGUAUUUACACGGUUAUUGUCAUUCCAAGUGCUCAAAUGCUAAUGGAGUUACACAAAACCAUCAAAUAUUAGAAAAGAUUGGAUUCAAGAUAUACUAAGUAUAAUGUACAGAAUGUUGCAUAUAAAGUACCAGAAAACUUUAGUAGGUGACCAAGAGAACCCUAUUGCAGGAUAUGCAACGGCUACAUACAAAACUUGUAACAUUGUAUAAUGUAUUUUAAUGGCAACAUGCAACAUUUAACACUUUACACUAUAUUUGGAUGAGGAAGUUUAAGAUUGCUAAGGAAAUUUAAAGUAACGGAAAUUGAAAUGAUGGAAUUUUAUUUUAUAGAAUAUGUGAAUUUUCUUGUUUGGUUGAGGAAAAUAAACUUGGAAUUUAGAUAAAAGUCAGAAUUUGUAAAUUGACAUGCACCAGUUUCCUUGUUUGGAUUCAUAAACAUAUAUAGGAAUUUAGAAUUUUCGGGUGAAAAAAAAACUUGGAAUUUGGGACCUCCAAUUCCCAAGUUUAAAUUCCAUGUAAAUAUGUAUCAUUUCCCAAUUUCUAUGAUUGAGUGCUUAAAAAUAACAAAUUCCGUAAUCAAUUCCAUUUAUUUUUAGGUUAACCAAACAAGAGAAUUCACAAAUUCUAGAAAAUAAAAUCCUGUCAAUUCAAUUUCCGUCAUUUUAAAAUUCCUUAGUAAUCUUAAAUUUCUUCAUCCAAACAUAGUGUUAAGAACAAUGGAAUUUGAAAUGAAAUUUGUUAUUUUAAACCCUCAUUCAUGAAAAUUCAGAAAUGACACCAAUUUACAUAGAAUUUAAAAUGGGAAUUAGAUGUCCCAAAUUCCAAGUUUUUUUCUCAUGCAGAAAUUCUAAAUUUCUAUGUUUAUGAAUCCAAACAAGAGAAUUGGUACAUGUUAAUUUUUAAAUUCCAGCUUUUAUCAAAAUUCCAAGUUUAUUUCCCUCAUCCAAACAUAGUGUUAGUUUAAAACUGUGAAGAUUUUGAUUUAUCGAUUACAAACUAAAUAAGUACUUGAAUUCUUAGGCACUUCAACGUAUGAACUUGUGCAAAUGAACAAGGUCGGCCCUGAGAUUUUGAAGGCCCGAGCUAAGCUACCAAAUAGGAGCCCUUUAAUUCUUAGGCACUCCAAUUGGUUGUAGGUUCAUAUACAUUUUAUUUUUAUAGUAAAUACUCAUUAAUUUAUUAUUAUAUCGUACUCUUAUUUAAUUAAUAAUCAACAAUAUGCUAAAGUUUUAAGAAGGUGUUUGGACCCAAAAUUACAUCAUCGGCCCGUGCAAUCAAGGCCGUUGAGUAGGCAUAGCUCUCAAUCGUCGGAUAAAAAAGCAGAGAUAAUUUUGUUAUUAAAGGAUAAUAUUAUGGUUUUUAUCAUAAUUAUCUUUUAAUGAUUUAUCUCGACAUCUUCUUAUGAAAGAGGGAAAAUAUAUCUCCAAGCUGGAAACACGCAGCACAAUUCAAAGCGAUUUGGAUGUUUGGCGUGUGGAUGUGGUUUGGAUCGGUUUUAGUUGACAAAUAUGCAUGCAUGUGAUAAGGGUGAAGUAAAAAUGGUGAUAUGCUUUGAAAAUGAGUCUACAUGUGUUGGUGAUAAGAUGGCAGCAACUGCCUUGCUGACAAUUAACAUUGGGUAUUUUAUGCUAAAUCAUGCAUAUUGGUAUAUGCUUUUGUAUUGUGGGCCAGCAUAUGUUUUUUUUUUAUGGAGCCAAAUUCAUUUAACAAUGGAUAUUUGGAACAAUAAGAAGUUUAAGUAGGCAUAGGCCUUUGAGAGUUUGAGUUUCAGUUGGUUUCUACGAAAUCAUCAAGGCCACGCCAAGCGGGAUCAUGCAUAUUUGAAAGAGAAUAUUCCUAUUAUUUUGCAACUUACGACGGCAAUCUUACGGUUAUAGAGGCAAUGACAACAUAAAGGUGGUAUUUCGAAUUCAACACACAAACUGCCAUGCACAAACUCUUGCUCUACGCGAAACCUCUUAACAACCUUGAGAUUUUUAUUUUCCUUUUUCGCCAACACAUCUUCAGUUUGGAUAAAUAGCACUAUGAAGGCAACCGGUGAACAUCUUCACUUUGGAUAAACAAUACUAUAACCGUAGAACCAUUCGACCAUGAAGCACCUUUAGUUUGGAUAAACAACAUUGCUCCGAGACCGAUUGAUUACCUAUCCAAGUCUCGGUCAAGAAGAAUUUUCAAGUCCUUACUAGUAGAGAUCAUCUCAUCAGCCUUCUCGACGAAGUGAGGUGUUACCAGGUUACUACAUUCGGCACCCUGAGAGCCCAAUUUGAUAUUGAACUUCGUAGAACUAAUAGCCUUGUCUUCAGGUUCUAGAACCUGAAGGUCGAGACGUGUUCAUUUCUCGACCGCAGUCGUGAGAUUCAGAAGUCAAUAGUGCGCCCAAUGCAACAUCAACUCAUUUUACUUACCGGUCAAGCUCGACCGUCGAGUUGGCAUGCCCCACACACAACCGAAGGACAUAGUUAGCUUUUUAAUUACUCGGCUUGUGCGCCACGUAUACUUGAUAGUUUUUAAGAUCAACAGAAGGUAAAGAGCAAUAAAAACUGAUUAACGAAUUUAACAAAUUUAAUAGCGCCAAUUGAUCCUCUUGUAUUCUUCUUGAAAUCAAUUUCACAAUAACGAAUAUUAGAAUCAUGAGAUGAUUGAUAAUAAAUUAUUGAAACAGAGAAGAUAUAGCAAAUAAGAUAAGGUAGCUGGCAUUUGAUAGCGAUUUUGCUUGUAAAACUACACUUUUUGUCCAUCCAGAAGAAACCCAUUCUUCUGUUACAUGGCUUAACCGUGACCACACAAAACAGGAGAGCACGGGAAGGGCACCAGAAGUGGAGGGCAAACAAUCCUUGUCCGUGCUUUGUCCAUCGAGAAUAAGAAAUUGUAGGGACUAGGGGCCCAUUGCUCUUUUGAGAUGCAAGUUAAGGGACCUAACAAAGGGAAGUAAAAAGCAUUGGUAGGACAAAACAAGCCGUUUUAGGAAAACAACUUGGGGGAAGAUUCUCUCAUUUCCUAAUCUCUCUCCCAUUUUCUCUCCUUCUAUUUGAACGGUUACGGUUUAGCUACGUCAAUAUCUUAUAUAUAUAUUUUUAGAGACGAUAAGACAAAAAAUAAUAUGUGGGAGAAGGGAAAAGAAGGGGAUGAGAAUAGGAGGGGAGAUAAUUCUCUUCCAAACAACUUGCCUAUACAAUUCGGAUUCUAAGACGGUGGUAUCCCAAACGAAUCUCAUCCGACUAUGUGUUUAAACAUUGCACAUGACACCACGUGAUUGUUAAAACAUUGUCACCGUAGUGUAUUGUACAUAUACAUGAUUGUUUUGAAGUAACAUCAUCAUUGUGACAUAUUCAUGACGUAUGCUUAUCUCGCCGACUAGAGUUUCAGAUUCCUAACCAGGCGGGCAUAAACGUGCUUACAGCCUAAAAGGCCUUAACCUCAUAGAUCUGAAAACACAUUUCUGUCGGAGAAAUUGUCAAGAAUAAGAUACGAACUAGAGUUUACUCCGGGCAAGAUACCUGAGAUUUUUAGCCGUUAAAGUCAUUGAAUUCUUGACCAAUGAUCUAACAGCUAAGUUCACAUUGUAUAACCGAGGCACACUACAGAACGUAGAAAAAAAUAAUGGGGAUUAAAACGCUUCAUUGGGUAGAGGGAUAAGUGACAAAACAAUGAGAAAAAACACAUCAAUUGUAUUAGAAAUGCAACUUGCCAAUGUGCACAACAACAAAUGAACAUAGUUGCUACUCCACCGCAAAACCACCUCUGUGUCUGUCAAAUCUUAUUAAUCUCUGCGAGCAGAGGUAGCAAAACAACCUUGAAAAAAAACCCCCCACAACUUUCCAUAUGUUUUUUUUGACACCCCCGUUAACCCCUCAUAAUCAUAAACUACUAAUGACACAUUCUUCAAAGAACACGAAAAUAUAAAAAUACUAAUAAAAGAAAACCCAAAUGGCGCAAUGCCUGUAUAGAGAGAGAGAGAGAGAGCGAGAGCAGCAGAGGCUUAAUUCAAUUCAAUGUUUUGAUUCGAAGGGGUGAAGACUGAAGAGCCGCCAUUAAAGCUUUAAGCUUGGGGCUUGUCCCACUUGAGUGGCUUGACAACCUCCCAGGUGAAGUCGGGGUCAUCCCUCCCGAAGUGUCCGUAGGCGGCGGUCUUCAAAAACCUUCCAUUGCCACCCCUCUUGAG
This 74553-nucleotide long non-coding RNA is filed under the name Malus domestica (apple). RNAcentral's name for it is "long non-coding RNA (MDOM_LNC011918)". The record is from RNAcentral. Lineage: Eukaryota; Viridiplantae; Streptophyta; Magnoliopsida; Rosales; Rosaceae.